AGAAAGGUCAAUACCGAUAUAAACCACACAAUCCAAACCAUUCUAGCUCCACAAAUCCCACGUGAAAAAUAAGGAUCAGAACCAUAAAUGACCUUUACAAGUUCUAUGCAAAACUUAUGCUGAGCAAAAAUUAUAGUCUAAAACUAAUUUCAAUUGUGCGCAAUAAUAAUGUGUAGUCCAAGGGUGCUACUCCCGCCCCGUGCCGAUCGAUGUCAUUAGGUACCUAAAAACCAAAUUAAACACAAGAGUGAGUAAAGAAUACUCAGCAAGUACAAUCUUGAACUAGUAAAACAUACGCAUGAUUUAUGCAUUAAGAAACCAACAUGAAGGGUUGGAUUUACUUUAUUUUUAAACCAAAGAAGUCAAAAGAUAGUAGUUCCCUCCCGGGCAGGUGUGAAUAUCCUCUUAGCAUUACCGGUAAGCCGAGCAAGCGUGAUCAGCGCUUCUCAAGGAUCAUGAAUAAAGAUCUAAAUUGCACUCCCAUGGCUACGCAUGGUUCUUGAAUAAUGUAAACAGAACAUCCGGAAUAAUGAAACAUGAAUAACGUCAUGACUUUGAAUAUGGGUCGAAACACGAAUAAGUAGCAUAACGUCAUAGCCAUACAAUCAGUAAUAACAAGCAAUUGAAUAAUAAUUAUGCAAGUAAAGCCAAACAAAACAACUCAGUUUUGUCCAUCACAUAAGUCCGUCUUGUACUUGCCUUAACUCAUUCGAUACUCCGACUCAACUCCUCCAACGUUGGAACCCUCCACACCUGUGGAGCAAAACUACGCAUAAACCACUAUAUUCAACUAACGAUGGUUACAAGGGAUAUUUACUAAAAUCAAAACCUAGAACAUAUAAACCUUUUACCGAUUUGUAUUAAAUAACCUAUAGCUGUUCCAUUACUGUUUUAUGAGUAACUCACAAACCGUCUAACGGAAACUAGCAAAUAAUACAACUUCGGACAUCUAGACAAAAUUGUCUACAACUUUCAUGUUGAGCACAAAAACAGAUUAUGCCUCUGAAAAUCCCAGAUUAAGGAAAAACGAACUGCUGUCCUGAUUUCCGGACCCGGUCAGCAGUACUGUUUUUGCUGUUUCUCCUAAACCGUUUACCGGAAUCGAGUGAAACUAGCACCGUUGGAAAGAUAUUGACAAUGACUACAAACUUUAUUUAGGACAACUAACCUGAUUCCUGAUGGUUUAAUACCAGAUUUGAAAAUACGGUUUCAGCCUAGCGUUCGAUAUAAAAUAAAUUCGAAAAAACCGGAAACAGAUCGUCUUAAAUAUAAAUUAGAAACAACUAUAGACUAAAACGGAUUACCUAGCAGUACUAAUGUAUAAGGAAAAUGAAGAAUUUGGAAAUAUUCACCAAAUUCCCCAAAUUUCCCUUCUUCUAUCAAAUUUCCCCUUCUUUCCUUCCUUCCUGUUCUUCUCUGCCUUCUCUCCCUCCUUCCUGUUCGUUGCAGGCCAACAGCAGCAGCAGCAGAAACGAAUAUCGGCAGCAACAGCAAGCCGUGCACCACCAGCAAGGAAGAGAUCAGAUCGGCAACAGCAGGGUUCGGCAGCAGCAGGGAAAUUAACAGAAACAACAGUAGCUCACCAACGACCGGCUGCGGACGACGACAGCUGUGGCGACCGGCGACGGCUGCACCAGCGGCGGCGCAGGCGAAGAGAGGAACAGCAGCGGCGGCGGCAAAGCGCAGGAGGUGCGGCGGCUAGGGCUACAGGAGAAUCGCUCCUGUUUCUUUUUUUUUCGUUUGUUUUUUUUUGGUUGGUUAUAUAAAGAGACUAAAUAAGAUCUAACGGCUCACAUCUAUUCAAUCCUCGGGACUUCGUUCGGACUCCGAUGACUAUAAAUUUAUAGUCUAUAUUGCACUACUCGGCGAGCUCUACGCAUCCACGGUUCCCGAUCGCUUAUACGAACAAUGGUUUAAAAGUUGAACUUUUGCGCGUUUGCUCUAAUAUUUCGCGAGAUAUAUUAAUUUAAAACUCGGGGUAUUACAUUCUUCCCCCCUUCGAUUGAAUUCGCCCUAUCAUGCUCUAGAACACGGGAUAUUACAGCUAUCAACCCCUCAACGGAGUAUUCCUAUCUCUUGUGUUUGAGUGCAGUACCGAAACCUCUCCAAGAUGGAGGUAGUUUCGCAAUAAUGCACCCGGCCACAAAUUUGUCGGGUAAGACACACUUAAGGAGUUCGAGUUCCUUAGUCAUGGUUUGUAUUUCAUGAGCCUGUUCGACUACAGAACGGUUGUCAGCCAUAUUGUAGUCAUGAAACUGCUCCAUGAUAUACAGAUCAUUGCUAGCAUCAGUAGCACCGAAUUUAGUAUUUUGUGCAUCCCAUGACUCCUUAGCGUCGGUCAUAUGCAUAUACACCUCGACCAGACGAUCGCCAAGCAUGCUAAGAAUGCAUCCCACAAAGAGAGUAGUGGCCUCAUCGAAUUCUUUCUGCUGAUCAGCAUUAAGAACGCCCAUAGGCUUGUCAGUACUCACCCAGAAGCAUUUCAUAGCUGUCAGCCACAGAGUGACCUUGAUCUGCCAUCUCUUAAAGUGCACACCGGUAAAUUUAUCCGGCCCCAGUGCAUCGGCAAAACCAGCCAUAGUAAAAUCGCAGCGCCUAUAAUAAGCAGUAAAACAUGAACAGAUCAAAUAUGCGCAACAUGUCGAACACGUACCGAGGUGGCGGAAAGACCGGUUGCUCGGCAGGAACUACUCGCGGUUGCGAGCGUCGACGAAGGCGCGCAGCAUGCGAGCGGAGAGGAAGGCGAGCCGUCGCGGACGAACAGGGAGCAGUUGCGCGAAGCGCUUCCCAAAAACCUUAUUGCCGCCUUCUCCCGGUGCAGGAUGUCGAAGGCAGAGGUUCCGGAGACCUGCUCUCCCGAUCGCCGGUGCAUACUGGCGAGCGGGAUGGAGUAGUCUACGAGCGACGGUGCAACACAGAGGAGGAGGCAAACCCUAGAUUGAUUUCGCAUGUGUUGCGUGAAGGCGGCGGCUCGGUUUAUAUAGAGAUAGGUCGCUUGAUCAGGGCGCCCGCACGAUCUCCACUUCGCGUAACCGAACCGGAUAAAUCGCGCGUAACUUAUCCGGACUCCACGCCGUUUUCACGCACCGGAUUUUUCGGAAUGUUUCCUACGGUUUAUAUAGAGAUAGGUCGCUUGAUCAGGGCGCCCGCACGAUCUCCACUUCGCGUAACCGAACCGGAUAAAUCGCGCGUAACUUAUCCGGACUCCACGCCGUUUUCACGCACCGGAUUUUUCGGAAUGUUUCCUACAACUUAUCCGGACUCCAGGCCAGGCGAGGCGAGCGAGCGCGCGCGUGUGUUCCCCCUCUUCUCUCCACCACACAUGCUUCAAGUGGCUAGGAGGGCAUCCUCCCUUUUAAGGAGGUCCCUCUCUCCUAGAAUAAGUAAGGUGGUACUAAACUCCACAUGCAUGCCAUCCCAUGAGGUGGGCUUUUGUGAUUUUCCAAAGAAUUAAUCUUCGAGUGGGCUAAGGCCCGUCCAUUAAUUCCAACACAUCAUGGGGACGAUGCGGAGGAUGAGAGUUUGGGACUGCAUUCUGAUGGAGAUGAUUAUCAUCGCUGUCCUCAACAACCUCUCUGCCAAGGUCCAGCUUCUAUGGAUAAGGUUUGUUAUGUUCACCUUGACAACCGGAAUCAUCAUGUUGCUCGUGUUCCAUUAGAUAAAGGGCUUUGUAAGAUGAAAAUCUCCAGGUCUUCUUUCUCAGGUUCUCGUGAUUCUAAGGAUUGUCUGCAAUGGGAGAUGUGUUGUGAUAAGAUCUUUAAUAGUCACAACUUUCGGAGGAUGAGCAGGUACGUGAUGCACCCAUUGAAUUCAUAUAUUAUGCUUUGUCUUGGUGGAAUCCAUUAGUAUGUGUUGGUCGUCCACAUACUUGGCAAUAUAUAAAAGAGGUUAUGGCUUGCCAUUUUGUUCCUGAACAUUGUACUAUAUCAUUGUAUUCACGCUUGUAGCAACUCAAACAAGGUGAUUUUAGAGUGGAUGCUUAUUAUAAGGAGAUGGAAGUUAAUGAGCCGUGUUUUGGUAACAGAGAAUGAUGAAGCUAUUAUUUAUUGAUGGUCUCAAUGAUGAUGUGAGAGAUCAUGUUGAGAUAUCAUAUUAUCAUAUAAAGAGUACGAUGCAAGCAGCAACUAAAAAGUUGUCACACUAGCCAUUCCCGUUAUUUUCAGUGAGACAGUGAUGGAUGUGUUGGUGGUAAGUCGGUCUAUUUCAAGCUGACUACUCCAUCUAGGGAUGUAUCUAAACCUGCUGCUAUUUCGAUGAGUAAAUCCACAUCUAAAAUUGAAUCUACUACUGCAUUUGGUUCUAAAUCGCGAUGUGUGAAGUGUUAUGCUUGUGGGAGAACAGGACACUAUAUGAGAGGUUGUCCUAAUCUGAAAAGGGUGUUGAUGACUUCAGAAGGUUAUAUUUUUGAGAGUAUAUUAGAAAAUUCAGAAAAGGGAAUAGCUUGAUCAUACUCUAACUACAGUAUAUUGAUAUAUUGAUGAUUUAUCAACGGAUGAUGGUAUUGAACAGAAGAAUGGUUUAUCUAUGGUUGCACGUGCAAUACAAUGAGAUAGCUCUUACAUUGAUGCAAAGGGCAACACUGCAAUAUUUUUCAGUCAGAGUGCAAAAUUCAGCAGAAGAUAUGUAAAUUAAUAAUUGAUGGUGGUAGUUUUACUAAUGCUAUCAGUUUAGAUUUAGUGCAUAAUUUCUCUUUGUCUACGUGGAGGCUUCCAAUGCCGCGUUAUAAUCAAUGUACGAAUCAAGAGGGCACACUUAAACUUACUCAUAAGUUAAGAACUACAUUUUCUAUCGGAAACUAUGUUGAUUAAGUAGAGGAAGACCGUGCAGUUUGAUCAUAAUGCAGCACUCGAGGGCCGAAGUAAUCACUAUUCUUCUAUGCAUCGUUGUGUUAAACAUCUGCCGAAACCGUUACAUGAUAGUUCUAUCAAGUUAGUAGUAUUUCCUAUCGUAAAGAAGAAGAACUUCUUUUGAAAAGAAGAAGAAAGAACUAUCUCAAAUUAAUCUAAAGCCAAGGAUGGAUUUGUUCCAAGGGAGGGAGGAUAACGUGAGCAAGAAAAAACUAAUAUGUUUCGUUGGUGUUUUACCCGUCGUCGUGCAUCAAAGCAUGGAACAUGGUCAAACUUCGAGAACUGUGGAACAGAACCCAGUAAAAAGCAAACCAUGUAGGCUACUAAGUAUAUAUGUGUCGGUUAAUUUAUUCUUGUUGAGUUAGCUUAGCCUGGUUUCGAGUUAACUAGCCAAGGGUCAUUAGUAAGGUUAUUAGCGACUAGAUUAUCAAAGUAAUUAGUAUAUUUUAUUUUUUUAUUUGUUGAGUCCGAAAAAGACUUCAUCUGAGCCUGCCUGAUCCCUUUAUUAGGGUUGAUUGACUGUGUAACAGAAGGGUUCUUUUGGUGUCAUUCUGUUGAGAGUUCUCCAGGAAAGCUGAUGGUGAUCCCAUAUACGAAUUGAGAUUAUUGCCGUUGCCGUGAAGGUGCGAGAAGAAGCUAUAUUUCCUUGAUCUUGUUACUUGGUAAAUGUUAGUGCCCUCUCUUCUGAUCAUGUUAGAAAGCACGGGUAGAAGAUUAUUUUAUCUAGGAUUUGAUGUUCAACUAUUGUAAGCGUAGCUCUCGAUUAUUUGAUUUGUUUGCUGCUGAAUUCUAUUUAUAUAGACAAGUCUGAUUUAAUUCGUUGAGUUAAUGAUUUCACGCUGCCUGACAAUUUUAAAAAGUUAACUUGUUUAUUUGUUAUUGGUACCACGGAAGAGGGACAUAUUCGGGUACUCGCUGUCGGUGCUCAUCAUCUAUGUUCUUUGCAACUGUAAACAAAUAUGGGCAUGCAUAGAAUCUAGUAGGUAAAGAAGUCGUAUAUAUAAAAAGUGCUAGACCAAUAAGGUGAGUAUACUGAUAGUUGGAUUAACCCAGUUAGAAGGAAAAGAAUGUGUGUUGCUAAUUUAUUGACAUUGGUCCCCAUGCUGGUGGUUAUAAAAUUUUUGGCCAUCCCCUUUGUUAAUGGGUAUGUUCAAUCUUCUAAUACAAUGCAUGCACCUAGGGAUUUGAAUUAUAUCUUAUGCUUGAUCAUCUACGAAGAGGCUCUUGCAAACAUUGAACAGGUAAUGAAUGCCCAACAGAACAUUCCCUAGAUCUGCGUGCAGCUUCUCUUUUCUGUCCUGCUCAAGAUAACGAUGGCGAGCACUUGAGCGCUCAAACAUGAGGACGAUGGCCUCGACCAAGGUAGAGAACACAAGCAGCACCCUGAACUUGCAUAAUGAAAGUUAGCAGGUGGCACAACCAGAGCCUAUUGUCCUCCUAGGAAUAAUCUGUGGUGUUGUCUGGGCCACCCAGGUGAAGCAAUAGGAAUGUUGUCCAGGAUGCAAUCAGCUGGUGCUCACCUGAGCUGCUGCUCGUGGUGAUGGAUAGCCGGCCAAGCAUGCAGAUUGCAGUGGAGCAGCAGAUACAUAGCAAAGCCAGAGGAGGAUCCUUCGCAGUGUGUAACCUUUGCGCCGACGGAUCCAUGACAAGCGGAGGACGAUAACUUGUAGAGCACAGCCUAGGAUGACUAGUAUUUGGAUAUGCCACUCUUUCCAAAGCUAGCUAGCUCUGCAGCCAUCGCACCUCGGCUUAACUGCAAACAACAUCACAUUAAUGAAAUACUGAAUCUAGAACCGGCCAGCCUUGCAUCAUUAGCUAAAAUGCUCGUUUUUUUUUGUGGAGCUAAAACACUUGUUGUUCCCUGAAAGGAAAGAGGAACAUUCUAGUAGCAAUUUUUUUUAAAUCAAAUCAAAAUAAAGUUUUGUGAGCUCUGAGCGAUGUUUGAAAAGAGAAUCCAAGCGCUAAAGAUAAAUAUUUCCUUAAAAUUUGAAAACUUUGUCAAUCCAUAAUUUAUUAAAAAUUUUCUAUUAAUAAAUAAAAAGGAUAGAAUCUAAGUUGAAAAAUACUGUCAUAAUGUUAUAAGUUUGUUAUAAUACAAAUUUAACUAUCAAAGAUUUAAAAGCUAAAUAUUUUUUGGCUGGAUAUAUAAAGUACUCCCUCCAUUUUUAUAUUGUAAGAUGUUUUUGUUAUGUCCUAAAUCAUACUUAGGGUAAUUGACUAAGUAUAUAGUAAAAUACAAUAACAUCUAAACCAUUAAAUUAGGUUAAUUAAAAUCCAUAAUUGAAUAUGUUUUGAUAAUAUAUUUAUUGGGUAUUAUAGAGGUCAUCCUUAUGUAUAAUAUAUUUUUCUCAAAAUUUCAGUUAAGUUCAGAGUUGACUUAAAACAUACUGUAACUACCUUAUCGUGUUAUCAAUAUAUUUUUAGAAGGUGUCGCUCUAAAGUGUUACUAAAUGACAACAUAUGUCCAACGAAAUAUAUAUACAGCAGCUUGCACGAGAGCUGGUAAAGUGGAAACCACACACCCAGUGGCGCGCCUUCGGGCGAUCGGCUUGCUAAAGAACACCACUGGUCUGCUACCUUCCUGGAGCACAGGGCCCAUGUAUGUUCUCGAAGUCGCUCUCGACGAUGAAGUCCAUGUUGAAGUCUGGUAGUUGAAGCACUAGGGUGGUCAUUUGGGCUAGCUGUAGUGCAUGGAACGCAGUUCCGCCGCCUCUUCCUAGCUGAAGACCUCCUUGCGGAGUAGUGUUGUGAGUUGCGUGGCGAUGGAGCCAAAGUUGCGGAUGAAGUGACGGUAGUAGCCUACAAGCCCUAGGAAGCCACGCACCGCCCACGCCAUCUUGGGGAUUAGCCAAUCCUAGAAGGCCUGGAUUUUCUGGUGGUCCAUCGGCACACGGAGCUUGAGAUGACAUGGCCAAGGCAGGCAAUGGUGGUGAGGCCGAUUUUGCACUUGGAGCGUGCGAGGUGGGAAUGACGAUCCUGCAGGGUUUGGACCAUGUCGAGUUGUAGAUUAGGAUGUCAUAAAAAACCAACAUGAACCGUCGAAGGAACAGAAGGAGUAUGUUGUUCAUGAGCGUCUGGAUGGUGGCAGAGGCAUUGGUGCGGCUGAACGCCAUGACCAAGAACUCGAAGAGACCCAGAUGCAUGCAAAACAUCAUUUUGUGGACAUUGUCGGGGUGCACGACCACCUGGUGGUAGCCGAAGCGCAUGCAUGUUGAGCUUGGUGAAGAAUUUUGUGCUGCGCAGUUCAUCGAAAAGUUCUUGCGCCAUCGGGAUCAGGAACUUGUCCUUGAUCAUCUUGUCGUUCGGCAUGUGGUAGUCGACGCGAAAUCACCAUGAACUAUCACACUUCUUGAUCAUCAUGGCCAGCAAAGAGAACUCCGACGCACUUGGACGGAUCACACCUUGGAGGAGCAUCUCGUUGCAUUGACGCUCCAAAUCGUCCUUUUGGAUGUGGGUGUACUGGUACGGGUGCACGACGACGGCGAACUCCAUGUGCUCUAGGCGGAUGCUGUGGCACAUGUGUUGUUCUGAUGUUAGGCCUUGUGGUUAGGCAAAGAUGUUGAUGAAGUCAUUGAGUAGUUUGUUCAUGAGUUCGCCAGAGGUGCCGUCGAUGGCCACGGAGUGGACGGGUGGUGGCAGAGUGUCGAUGCUCACCUAUGUGACGCGGUUAUCGACUGGGCUAAAGGCGAGCAAUUAGCAGGAGAAUCCCACAAGAUGACCCGAGCGUACCGAACCAUUGUGCACCCAGGACGUUGUCAUAGCCCCCAGUGGCAGCACGUAGAAAUCUAUGUCGAAGGUGCACCCAGGACAACUGUUAAUUUUAACGCGCUGGGGCGGACACCGACCGGGCGACGUCACAUGGUCUCCAUUCACCAUGGCGACACUGAGGCCGAGAUAGGGGUGGAGCGGAACGUUCGCCCGUCAUGCCGUGGUGUUGCUUAUGAAGUUGUGGGUGGAGCUAAAGUCUAGGAGGGCGACGAGAUCUGUCGCACCAGUGCGAGCAAGGAACUUGAUCGUGUUGAACUUGGGUGAGUGCACGCCAGUCAAGGCAUGCAACGAUAUGCUCGGUUCACCCACCGUGAUGAACUCAAUGACGAAGGACUUCUAGCAGCAAUGUCUGGCGACGUACUUCUUGUCGCAAUUGUAGUAGAGGCCCUCAGAGCGGCACUAGGCCAUCCCUGCUAGGGAGAGACGCUUAUGAGGGAGGGCAGUCACCAGGGGUUGCUUGCCGAUGUGGGCAGAGGACGAUGUGUCGGCUGGCGCGAUCGCCAUAGGCACAGCCACAGGCGCCGCAGGGAGUGCAAGCGUGGUGGCCGGCCCGCCCGUGUGGGAAUGGGAUAAGUGUGGACGCAUUGUUCGUAGGCCCAGGCUAGCAUGAUGGCGUAAUCCAGGGAGCGAAACCGACAGAGCGCGACAUCUAUCUUGAGCGGGUUCACAAGGCCUGCCAUGAAAAGUUGAACGUGUUGAUUCUCCGAGAGCGUAGCGUCGCGGUACACCAGCGCAAGGAAGCUAUUGAUGUAAUCCUCCACCAUGCCAAUGCGCUACAACGCCAUGAGUUCGCUAAGGGGGGCAUCUAUCAUUGCUGGGCCAAAACGGGUGUGCACCAAUUGGACAAAUCGCCGCCAGGAUGGGGCGCCGGAGUUGAGCUCAAGCCUGUAAUACCACAACUAGGCAUCCCCGAUUAGAUACAACAACACGUAUCAAACCUUGCGAUUCUCUAGUGUUUGUUGGCCGCGGAAGAACCUGUCGCAGCGGUUGAGCCACGGGAGCGAAUGACCCUUGCCGUCGUACGUCGGGAAUUCCAAUUUGGUGUGGGGCAGGAAGUUGUUGUCGAUAGCGGUGUCACCAUCAGCACCGGUGGGAUGUGCCAGGAAGGUAUAACUGUGGAAGUGCGUGUCAUUGUCCCCGGGCGGUGGGCAGCCAUCUUGCACCAUGUGCGACGCCGAGCCAGAGGAGGCGUUCGUUUGGGGAAGUGGCACGCGUUGGGAGGCCUCUAUGUGCUCGAUGGCGAGGUUGAGGGCACACACUUGCUCCGAAUACUCUAACUCAUUAUCUCUGUGCUACCCCUUCUGUUAUUGCCGAUCUAAAAAUCGACAAACAUACUCCUCCUGGACCUCCUCGAUGCAUUCUGGCUCAUAGACUCAUCAUGCUGGAGAUAAAGACGGUAAUGUUCAAUCACCAACAUGAUAGCUAAGCUCUUAUUUUCAUAAGUAAACACAAACCCUGAUGUCGUGGACCCAGUGCACGACUCAGAAAGGCGAUAAGAUGGUCGUUUUGCAUCAGCACAGCCGCAAUAUCUUUAUGGGAUGCAUCUGUCUCAACCACAAACAACUGAGAAAGAUAAGGCUUAGGGCAUAGCUAUUACAGGAGCUGGAAUGAGUUCCUGUUUUAGGGCUUGAAAGGCCUCUGCCACUACUAAAAUAAAAUGCUUUUUAAACAAAAUUAUUUUACCCCUUUUUAGAUGAUGAAAAGAUUAUAAAUAUUUUUUUUGCGGGAAAAAAGAUUAUAAAUAAUUAAAGUCUAUAAGGAUGAAUUAAGUACGAUAUACUAUGUUAGAAAAUUAUAGAAACAAUACUGAUAAAAAAUAAUUGUGGACAAAUACUUUUGAAGUGUGGUAGGUGUUGUCUCGUUAAUACACCAUAUUUAUAAAUGUCAAAAACUCAUCCUACAAUAUGAUACCCAAAAGACCCGCAUAAAUGUAUCGACGAGACUACGGGUCGGGUGCCUCAUAAAAUUGAAAAAGUUGAGCGCCCUUCUCCGUGCUGCAAUAUCUAUUUGGUGUAGCCGUCUCUGCAUGCUUGCAUGCUGCACUCCUUGUUCUCUCCUCUCACUCUCUCUCUCUCCUGUCUUCUCUCUCAUGCGUAGGUUUGACGCACAUCCAUGCAAUCUCUUUUAUCAAUUUUUAAAUGAUAUUUCUCCUAAAUUAUUGAUCUAAUUUACAAUCCGAUUAUACCAUUAUAUUUAUUGUAAUUAAAUCCUUAUAACAAUAUCCCGCAUGAUCAUAUUAUGAGUAAAAAUGAUUAUAUUUUUAAGUAAAAUACUUUUAUAUACUAUAUAAAACAUCGAGGUGCGAUGGUUGAAACAUUACGUAAUAUUUACUGAAACAUUCAUAUAAUACAAUGUGCAACAUUUUCAAAUGAAUCAAUAAAACAUCGGACUAAGUCACAUCCACGUAACACACCACAUGCAACAUUUGAUAAAAAUUCAUUGGAACAUAAAAAGUUAAAAUGUGCAACGUAGUUGGAUUCCAACUGAAACAUAAAAAGAUCUUGUUUUGCAGAUUUAAUUACAAUGAGUUUGGUGGUGUAAGUAGAUUGAAGAUUGGAUGAGUAAUUUCAGAGAAAAAGUAUUUAAAACUUGCUAAUAAAUCUAUCUUUUACACAUAGCAAAGUCCUAAGGGCUUUCAUAGCACGUCACAAAGUUUUGGUGGGCUUCACAUGCCACCUAGACCAAGAACAAUGUUAGCCACAUGUUCCACAGUGCAAGUUCCUUAUAGUUGUUCCCACCAGUACUACUUUACUUUUCACUUUUCCCCUUCCCUCUCUCUGAAAUUUUUACAUUUUGGUCCUUUUUAAAAACUUAUUUUACAAAUAGACCCCUGGGAAAACUUAAACCGGAAAUGGUCCUUUCGGGGCGCCAGAGUGGCUGACGCUGUACCCCAACAUGGCGGCGCCAGCCAUAUUGGCGCCGAGCCCGUGCCACCGUGGCACUAGGGCUGUCGUGGAGGUGCUGACUAGGCAGAGGGGGGCGCUAGCCAGAGUGGCGCCGCCCCUCACACCACAGCGCCAGCAUGGCUGGCGCGCCCCUCCUCUGCGGGCCCCACCAUCUUCCCCCCCCCUAAAAAUUUUCGCCAAGUCUAUUCUGCCUCCGGGCAACGGCUAGCGCCCCCCCAGACCGCGGUGCCAGGGUGGCUGGUGCCGCCCUCCUCCCCCGCCCGAAACCCUUUUGCCUCCGGGCCUCGGCUGGCGCCGCCUCAUGGACCACGGCGCCAGGGUGCAUGGCGCCGCCCUCCUCCCCCCACCGAAACCCUUCUGCCUCCGGGCCUAGGCUGGCGCCGCCCUCAUGGACCACGGCGCCAGGGUAGCUGGCGCCGCCCUCCCCCCGCCCGAAACCCUUCUGCCUCGCGGCACUGGCGGGCGCCUCCCUUCCCAGCCCUCGCACCAGGGUGGUUGGCGCUGCCCUCUGCCUCCCUGCAAAUUGAAGAUCCAUAUUGCACAAAUGUACCAAUUCACAGUUCGCAAUUCAAAUCACAAUUCACAGAUUCAUACAGACUAAAACAAGUUCCAAUUGCACAAAUCACAAUGCCAAAAGUCCAUCAUAUAGUCCUCACAUAGUCCAUCUCAUAUUCCACACAUCAAACAAUGCCAAAAGUCCAUCACAUAUUCCACACAUCAAACAAUGCCAAAAGUCCAUCACAUAUUCGACACAUCAAACAAUGCCAAAAGUCGAUCACAUAGUCCUCACAUAGUCCAUCACCUUUUAUAUCACAUAGUGCACCACAUAUGUCAUACUACCAACAAAUAGAUUAACUUCAUACAAAUCACUUCUUCCAUUGGCGCCGAAUUGCUUGCGAGCCCGGAGUGUACCUACAUUUGAAAAUACAAUGUUUAAAACAUAUUAAAAACAAAAUGAGGGAAAUCAAAUAACAUUUUAGAAUGGUAAGCUCAUUUUACCUCUUUUUCGCUGCCCGAGUAGAUCGCAAGUUGUAUUGCGUGGGUUGCGUCCCCUGAGGUGCGUCGGGAAGCUACGACAUGUCUAUCUCCUCAGUGUCUGGUGCGACGUAGUCCUCAUCCUCGUCGUCGUCGUCGUCAUCGUCAUCGUCGUCGCUAGGUGGAGCCGGCGCCUUCCCCUUUCCCCUCCCUUGCGGAAUGCGUGACGAUGAUGAGCCACCAACUUCUUCACGCUCUUCUAUCCUGAUGGAGUGUCGAGCAGUACUUGGACGCGCGGAUUGAGGUAGUGGUGGUGGUAGUCUCCACGGUUGGUACACGUCGUCCAAUCCAACCGACCUGCAACCUAAUCUUGCUACAAGUUUCCGGCACCUUUGACGAACUUUCUGCAUUUCAAAAAAAAAAGAAGUUUGUUAGGCAUAACUCAAGUAAUGCAAAGUGCUAAAUAAAUUUUACCUCUAAAACAUUGCGGAGUGUGUUCUCCGUGUCCUCACCAAUAAAAAGGGGUUCUAGGGUUACCCUUCGAUCUACAAAUUCAACCAAUAAAAACGAAAAAAAAGAGGGGGGAAUGGAGGAGUCUACCUUUCUCUUCGAUUUCUACAAAAAAUCCCGCGAAAAACGAGUUCAAAUGUAGUGGAUUUGAGGUGGGGAGGUGAGGGGGAGAGACGAGNNNNNNNNNNNNNNNNNNNNNNNNNNNNNNNNNNNNNNNNNNNNNNNNNNNNNNNNNNNNNNNNNNNNNNNNNNNNNNNNNNNNNNNNNNNNNNNNNNNNNNNNNNNNNNNNNNNNNNNNNNNNNNNNNNNNNNNNNNNNNNNNNNNNNNNNNNNNNNNNNNNNNNNNNNNNNNNNNNNNNNNNNNNNNNNNNNNNNNNNCAGUCGCGGAAGUGGUCGGGUAUCUACGGAUCCUGAUUGGGCGAUUUCGGCCAACUCUUCUUUCUCGCGCGGCGAACCGGCCCAAGCCGGCCAGCGACGCCGCCCACCCCCUCCUCCUCGGGUCACGACAUGUGGGACCCACAUGUCGGUUGCUUCUUCAACCUCCGGCCGGCCGGCCUAGUCGAGCCCGAGCCGCCCCCUUCUCCUCUCAAAUCCGCUCCAAUCCGGCCCCGUUUCUUCUGGAUUUUUGAGGGGUUUUUAUCCCCACAUCCUCCUCUAUCUUUCCCCUCAAGAAUCAGAGCAAACAGUGUGGCUGGUGCCCCCAUUCUGCCCAGUCAGCACCUCCACGACAGCCCUAGUGCCACGGUGGCACGGGCGCGGCGCCAAUGUGGCUGGCGCCGCCAUGUUGGGGUACGGCGCCAGCCACUCUGGCGCCCCAAAAAGGACCAUUUCUGGUUUAAGUUUUCCCAGGGGUCUAUUUGUAGAAUAAGUUUUCAAAAAGGACCAAAAUGUAAAAAUUUCAGCCCUCUAUCUCCCCCACAGAGAGCCGGGCGGAGACGGCGCCGGGCCGAGCAGCGACGGUGGUGCGGCCUAACACUCGCUGGAACACCACCCCUCCUCCUCCUCCCCCUCCCCUAACCGAAGCUCGGCGGCGUAGUACCGUUGGACGGCGAGGUCAGCUGGCGGCCGUCUGGGUCGGAGCACCACCUCCGCCAUGCCUCCCCUCCUCCUCCUCCUCCUCCUCCGGCGUCGCGGAUCGACUGAGAGCGCAGCCUCGACCUCGAGCUACUCUCCCUCUCCCCUCUCCUAUCUUCGCCUCUGCCCUCUCCUCCACCCCCAACGACCGCGGCGGUGGCGUGGCCCUCGAGCUCUCAUCUCCCCCUCCCCCCUUCUUCACCCUUUCCGGUCCUCGUCCGCGGUGGCAGCAUCGCCAUCGCUGGCGUCAGCCCGGUCCUCGUCCGCGGUGGCUGCGCCACCGUCGCCGGCGCUGGCCCGGUCCUCUUUCUCUCUCUUUCCGACGAGCUCAGUGGUGUGCAUGCCUCUCCUCCAUCUGUUUUUUGAAACUUAAACAUAUAUUGUACAACGCCAAUGGGUAAGGCUUAAGGCAAAGAGCCAACAAAAACCGCAGAAGAGAAGACUGCAUUAAGAUCACAAACUUCGUAUUGAAACUAAGCAGCAGAGGAGGUGCAAAUCGACAGGGAGCUGCGGCAAUGCCGCGACGAUUGCAACCUUCGGUCUCCUUUGGCGUGCAGACUGCUUGACAAACCUGUAAUCCCCUUCAGUCGCCUCCACAGAAACUGCACAAAUUGGAGAUUUGAUGUUGAGCCGUAGAUUUUGGUGUAGGCUUCACCGGGCUCAACCAGAAUUCACCAUGGAGUUCGCCGUUGAAUCUGAGGAGCUUGAGCUCAACCCGAACAACAAACCCUGCAUGGAAGCUGCUACAAAAAGAAACUACGAGAAUGAAGGAACCCAAAUCUAGCCACUCAAAGGAAGUUAAAAGUUCAACUAAUGGCGAAAGAACUAUUGUCUUCUUGGGUCAACGGGCAAGGUUGGGGAAGAGGAGACCUGCAAAAGAGGGCUUGAGGAAUAUGGCUUGGGAGGGCUAUCAACCACUGAAUCUUGAGGAGAUGGGUGGUGGAGGUUGAGCUUUGGGUGUAUCAGAGGUGGGGUCAACAAUGACAUCGUCACAGCAGAGGGCGACCCGAGCCACAAUGGCAUCGUCACAGGGGGCGGCGAGCUGCAAGAACGCCGCCGCCGUCCCAAUCUACCCGAACCACAAGCGGAUCAAACCUCCUCCACACGGGCCUCCUCUAGCUUGGCCUCCUUCUCAUUCUCCACGCUAGUCUUUGAGGUAUGCAAGAGAUUGAAUAUCCGGCAGCUGUAACGCCCCGAUUUUCGUUCGGGAUUAAAAUCAUUUAAUAAUGCAUUUUCUAGAAUUUAAAUAAAAAUUAAAUCAAUUUAAUCAAGUGAAUUAUUGAGGAAAUUAAAAUUUCCUUUAAAAAUCAUUGGCUGGGAAUAUUUUGUAAUAUUCUUUGUGCCCUAAUAUACUCUCUGAAAUUUUCCGCGAAUUUUCGCAGCUCAAGAAGUAAUUUUAAUAGCACAAAGUUCAUUUAAUCAAUUAAAAUAUAAAAAAAACCAAAUAAAUCUCUCCUUCCUCCCUUGGGCAAUUUUCAGCUCAAGCCCUCCUUCUCUCUCCCGCGGCCCGCGUGCUUCCUUCUCUCGGGUCGGCCCAGCUCGCUCCACCCUCCAAAUCUAUUCCCCCCCUCUCAAACCGGCCUCUGCUCUUCUCAGGACGACAGGUGGGACCCGUGGGCCCCACCUGUCAUCCCCAAUCCCCAGCCAUCCCAAGCCCAACCACGCCAUGCCGCCAUACCGCCCACGACGCCGCCGUUUUCACGACCUCUCGCUUGCGCGCUCGCAUCCAAACCGAGAGCAACCGCAACCCCUCCACCUCCUCCACACUCUCCCCACAUUUCCCCCAAAAAUCGCACCGGGCGAGCUCCAUUUCACCCACAAUUUCGCCCACGUCGCCGGCCGUUGCCGCCCCAAAACCGCCACUCCUCGACCUCCCUGUUGCUCCCUCGCGCCAUAAAGAGCCUCCCCGUGCUCUCCUCUCGCAUUUCCCGUCUUCCCCGCGCCCUCUCCCGCUCUCCCCUCGCCAAGCCGAGCCGCCGCCGCCCGCCGGAGCUCCCCAGCAUCGCGUCGUCGCCGCUUCCGCCGCCUCUGCGUUGCGCCAAAGUCACCUCUGGCUUCACCACUCCACGCCGCACACCGGCUGCCCCACCGCCUCCCUACACCAUCCUCGCAGCACCGUUUCCACCGUGCACCCAAGGCCGCCGCCGCGUUCGUUGCCUCUAGCCGCGCGACUCCGCCUCUCCGGUUGACCCCACUCCGCGCCGCCGCCACCUAUAGCGUCGCAGCGCCUCACCACAGCUCAGCGUCCCCCUCACUCGAGCUCCCAUCGCCAGUGCCUCUUAUGUAUGUAUUUACGCUUUAUUUAUGUUUGGAUCUGUUUAUCACUUGUUGUAUUGUGUACCCUGGUUGGUUCUGGACAGGGAUUUAAUACAUAUAAUAGUCUUGAAAUAUGGGUUAAAUUUCUGGGCGUGACAGCAGCGUCAGCAGGACUGCUCCUCCUGCCACUCCUCUUCAGACUUCGGAUCUAACUUGUCAACCUCGUCCUCAAGGUUCAGGCCGACGCUGACGUCAGCCGAAACCUGGCCCCAACCAGCACCGUCACCAUCACCAACUCCGGCAACCAUGGGACCUAGCCGGCAAAAACUUAACAUGGGAAAAACCCUACUUGCAGGAAGAACCUGACAACAAGGAACUAAUCUAACAACACUAUACUAGUAGGUAAAGGUGGAUGGACCCCUCCUCCAAGCUUCGCCGGUGGCGAACUGCCGGAAUCGAAGGUGGAAGAGGGGACAGAGGGGAGGAUUUUGGAGAUUUACUGUAGCAAGGGGAAAGGGGAAAGGGGAGAAGAUCAACCGUUGUUCCUCUCCUCCAAUCCUCUCUCUCUUCCCAGAGGACACGGGACACGAAAUUGUGUGGGCCUAGAGCAGUAGUUUUGACGAGGAACAAGUAGCAUAUUUUGGCUUUCCGUGUUUGGUGAAUCAACCAAAUGUGCUGAGGUGGAGGGGAAUCUACGAGUUGGCCGGUUGAGGCUGAAUGAUACCUCAGUGCACUGUGAAUGGCCUAACAGCAAAGAGAGAACAUAUGCAACAUGAAAGAGAGAAGCACGCUAGCUAGCGCACGCUGCACGUGUUGUUACAGAGAAAAAGAGACUAGAGAGUAGAGUAGGAGAGCGUUCGAGUUUUUUUCAACUUGCAUUGGAUCAGUUGAACCGAUCUGAAGUAUUCUCCUAAGUGCACAGGUUACUUGGCAAGUUUUUUUUUUUAAAAAAAAAGGCAAUUACAUGAUAAAGUGACAAUAUGAGAAUGUGCACUCAGCACUCGAUCAGCAGCUCUUGUAAGAACCAAGCAUGCGUGCGUGCUUGCUUACGAGAUAUUGUCGAAGUGCUGGUCAUGCAUGGCUCAUUGUAUUGUGUCCCAACUCAGUCGAUCGUGACAAGCAUAACACUCACCCUGCUACCCUGGAAUCAGCAGUGGUGCCUCAUCACAGUCAUAGCGAUUGCCCGCCGCCGGCGCACUGGAGGCGUCUUCCUCUGUCGUUGAUGCCAAAGUAGUGUUGACGACGAUCAAGCUGUUAAGGUCAGGCAACGGUCCGUCACGCUCCAGGACAUCCAUAGCUUGCCGCAUAGAAGGUCGGUGUUGAGUCUGCAAAGCAGAGCACCAGAGCCCCAAUACGAUGACACGCUCUAUCUCCCUCAUAUCAAGGCCACCACCCAUGGUUAACCUUGUAUCCGCCGCCUCGACAACAUUGCCACCGCUUCGGUAUAGGUCCCAGAUUUGCUCCCUGUGCCUCCUUGCACAGGCGAUCUCGAGAAGGGCAAUGCCGAAGCUGUACACGUCUGAGCUACGCUUGAAUGGGACCUUACCAUGUUUCAGACACUGUGGAUCAAGGUACCCUUCCGAGCCUAUGGCAGUUGUCAGCAACGUCGCAUUGUCUUGGUUUGCCAUCCUCGAUAGGCCAAAGUCGGCGAGCUUGGCGUUGAAAUUUUCAUCCAGGAGUACAUUGCAUGGUUUGAUGUCUCUAUGCAGGAUAUGUGGGUCGCACUCGUGAUGUAGGUAGAGCAGGCCCGAUCCAAUGUCCUUGGCUAUUUUGUACCUGUUUGAUCAUAGUUAGAUAGCUACAUAGAUUGGCCAUAAACAUUCUUAGUUAGUUAAUUUAAUGCCAACAGAAACCAUACUUUCGAAGCAACAUAUUGUAGUUGAUUUUAAUGUUGUAUUUGUCGAUUUUUUAAGACAAGCCAUGGUAGGAUUGUAAUUUAUGAUUUGUUAAUAAAUUUGUUGAGUGGAAGCUGCAUUAUUUAACUUUGACAAAUCGGUGUGUAUCCUAUUUGGAAAAAAAAAGAAAAAGAUAUGAUUACCUAAAAAGUUUUGCAUAUGAUUUACCUAGACAUUGUAAUGUUAGCAAAAACACACAAGAUAAUUGAUAAACGAACAAACUGAGUACAACUCCAUACAUAUUAAUUUAGAACUUUAAAAAUUAUUAUAUUAUGAGGCAUACUUAAAUAUGAGUGGUUCCUAAAAUCUUGCAUGCAUUAAGAAGUGUUCCUCUUUAAUAAAGAAGAGGGCACGAAAAGAAAAAAGUCAUUAGCACGUGAUUAAUUAAAUUUUAAUUUCUAUAAAAUUGAAAAAUAUAUUUAUCUUACAUUUUAAAACAAUUUCUAUACAUAUAUAAUAUUUUCACACGAAACACGUUUAGUAAUAUGACAAACGUGCUAACAGAAUGUAAGGUGCAGUAUGUAUUUGAGGAAAAGAACACCAAUCUUAGGUGGCUGGUAAUAAGAUAUAAGGGACCUAAGUGAACUUAUUCCUAUACUUAUUACACUAGAAAAACGGUUUUUACGAACACCUCUAAUUGAUUGCAGGUAGGCUAAUAGAACUUUUGUUUGUAAUAAGAUUUGGAUGGUGUCUAGUAACAAUUCAUCAGUGAAAAUGAACCUAUUUUUCACAUACAGGUCUCUAGUCAGGUCUAGUAAGAGAUCCGUAGGUGAAAACCAUUUCAGAGCACACGUCCUUUGCCAUUUUUUUCUUUUUUAGGUCCUCCUCACUCACUCCCUUUCUCCCUCGGCUUCUCGUCCUACUCCCUCCACCUCCGCCUCCUCUCUCAGCCCCUCUCCUCUCCUCCAUCUAUCCCUCCUAAUGGCCAAAGCGAGGCGAGUAGUAGGCGGAUGCAGGGCAACGCCAAGAUUGAAGCACCGGUGGGUGCAGGGCGUGCCGUGAUAGGAGAACUGGGUCGGCGUGGGGUGUGCCGCGACGGGAGCAACUGGCCGGCGAGGGUCAACAGCUUGUCAAGCGGAUCCGUCACCUCCGGCCCUGUCAGGGUAGAUCCAUCGCUGACAGCGAAGGGUUGGGGUGGCAAGGGCGGAGGGCAACCACGAGGAUGAUGGAGGGCUCAGGGGCGGUGGGGUGGUGCAGUCCACCGCAGCCAGAUCCGACGCCGACAGCAUAGAGGUGGGGGCGAUGGGGCGUAGGGCGACCAGGAUGACGGCGGAGGGUUGUGGGAUGGAGGGGCGGUCCUUCAAAGCUAGAUCCACCACUGCCGAUGGAGCGGCGGGAAUGAUAGGGUGCCCCAAAGAUCCCAUGCAGGCGGCCUCGCGAUGGCUGGAUCCCAUGGCUCCAGCACUUGGACUGGUUGAUCCGCGUGGCACCAAUGAUGGCAUCUUUGGGGCAGUGUUGUAUUUUUCUUAUUACUAGAGAUGGGAUAUAGGGUUUGUUGGAAAUGGGAGCUAGGGUUUGUGCAUUAUUUUUUUUUUUGAAAUUUAUUUUGCCAAUUUAAGUUUUGCAGACGGGCAGCAUAAUGUACUCGCGUGCGAAAAUCCCUUUUUCGCACACGGUUGUGUAAAAAAGAAAACCUUUUCUGCUAACACAAGCAGUUGCUUUGCCCACGUGAAAAAAUGUGUUCGGCACGCGUGGAAAAAUUGUUUCUCUAGUAGUGUUAAUUUCAAAUGUGAAAAAUAAUAGUUUAAAAAGGGAACUUAAAGCAAAGACGAUUUGAAAAGAUGAAAACAACAGAAUAUAUGUUAGGAUGAAUAUAGUAUAUUUUCUAAAAUGCGCCGAUGUCACCUUGUUUGCCAAGAAAGUACUUCUGAUGACUCGCUUUUGUACAAGUAGUCGUUGAGGUUGCCGUUCGUCAUCAAUUCAUAGACAAGGAAGAGCUCAUUGUUCUUCUUACUCCAGAAACAGCUGCACAUGAAACGGAGAAUGUUCCAGCUGUGUCCCCGGGAGCACCAACCAAAAAACUUGACGAGAUUCUUGUGCUUGGCUUCGCUGAUAGUGCGGACUUCGGCGAAGAAGUCCUUGUGUCCUUCGCUGGACUCCCUCACAAUUUUCUUCACAGCAACUUGAUGGUCCAGCAGCUUCAGGUGUCCGCUGUACACUGCCCCAAAGGCGCCCUGCCCAAGCUUGCGAUCCUCCGAGAAAUGGUCGGUCGCAGCUGCCAAAUUGCGGUAUUCGAACCUCCUGGCGCCGCCUGUUCCCUUGUCGAAGACAUUUCGAAUCCUUUUCUGCUCCCAACAAGAGAGUAAGAACCACAAAACUAGCGCAAACACUAGAGCUCCUCCAAUGAUCAGUUCAACCAGCAACCGUGCUAUAUUGUGUGUAUCUGCACAUGCAAAUCAAUAGCAGUAUAUAAAUUUCAAUCAAGCUAAACAUAUUGGUAAGUCCAAAAUUUCAGUGCUAUGUUUAUGUGCAAUUUCAGUUUUCAUUUGAUCUGCAAUUCUGUUAUUGUCUAUGGUUUUAUUUUGUUUUAUUAUAAGCUUGAUUACAACUACAUCAUCAUCUAAUUGUUUAUCAAUUGUAAAUUUAUUUCAUGCUUAAGUUAGAAUAAUUUAUGCUCAACUUUAACCUAAGAAGAAUAGAGUUUGUUUAUGAAGAGAAUGUAGGAUAUGAUUAGAGUUAUUUGAUUUUGAUCCAAUGGAUGAGAAAAAACUAGUGCAAUUUUCAAAAUUUUCAUUGAACAAAAAUGUGGAUAAGAAAUAAACAUUAAUUCAAAAAUAGGAAAUAAAGGGGAAGCAGAAAAAGAGUAAGAGAUAAGAAAAUGCACAUUGAAAAAAAAGGAGAAAAAAAUUCUAGCUAUAUAGCACAAGGAUCCCAUCUAAAUCAACUAAAACCACCAAUAACUUAGAGUACCAAUUAAUUGUUUCCCCAAAAAGAACUAGGACUUCUCAUCAAUACCACAAAACUGUGUAUUUUUUCUCUGAAUUCCUCAUUUGCCCUUACCUCAUGUUCCUAUUUGUCUUUCUUAUCCCAGAAUGGAGAAAGUAUUUUGGUCCUCGAGUGAAUAUUCUGUCGCGGGAUCAAAAACCGUUCCAACAUCAUUAUAAAAAAUUCCAAAACAAUUUGGCAACAUUCAUUCAUGGUCAUUUUAAGCCUAAACUCAAUUCACUCAUUGAGAUUAAAAAAAAGGACAAUUCCAUUUUAUCUACAGUACUGCGCGCGCCUCUCUAUGAUAGGCCGAUGCACCCCCAUAUACAACCACCAUCUCACUGUUGAUCUGGGCGACUCCGUGGUUGGGCGUGCGUGGAGCUCACGGUCGGCAUGCUGCUUAAUAGUGGUCACACGCACGACAAUAGCGGCAUGCUGGUACAAGCAGGAUUUGAAAUUUUGAAAUCAGCUUUUCUGCCGAGGGGAGGGGAGAGGGGGGGGGGGCAAAAGAACCGAAAUUUCGAAAAUUUCGGAUUUUUUUCGUCCAAAAUUUUUUGAAAUUUUGACUGGUUUUAAAUGAAUUUGAAUAAGAUUUGAUAAAAUUCACAAAAAAAUGCAAAAAACCGAAAGUUUCGGGCGAGAUGUGAGCAUUUUUUGGGGGGGGGGGGGGGCCGAAAUUACCGAAAUUUCGGAAAUUACAGAAAUUUCAAACCCUGUGUACAAGUCCAGUAGCUAUCCGAGGCCUCAUGGCCGGGCAACCAUGCAGUGGCGCUGGGCUCGGUUGACAUCUCUUCAUGCAGAAAUUAUAAGCUGCUUAAUAGUCGCCAUAGAAGUCUCCAUGGAUCUAGCAUGGAUGUAAUCUGGUGGAGAAUAGGCUUAGUUGCUUUUUCUAUUUUGUAAGUCCUUCCAAGAAAUUUAGCCAUCUUAAAGGAGCCUCAUUGCAAAACUGCCUGUACUUGUACUUGAUAUGUAUCUAAUUAUUUACGAUCAAUAAAAUGUAGUUCUAAAAGAAGACCUGGUGGAAACCUGGACUAGAACGAAAAAACAAAAAACAAUCGAUUUGUUGUCAAGUCAAAAAAAAAAGGGGCUGAAUUUAGAAUUUUCGUAAUAUUAGUCAGGAUUUCGUCGGUUUAUCAGCGGUUUCCGUGAAAUUCGUUCGUGAGUGGUUUUUGAUUCAAUAUCGGAAUUAUGAACCCUGAGCACGAUGAAGAACCAAACGAGGAUGCUUGCGGCUAGUCCAAGAUUAAUGUCAUCAUGUCAUAUUUUUUGUGUUCUUGGAUUGAGGUGAAAUAUCUGUUACCCAUGGAAUUCUCUCGACAAGAAAUUGAGCCUAUAUAUUACUACCUCCAUAUUUUAAUGUAUGACGCCGUUGGUUUUUUAUCCAACGUUUGAUCAUUCGUCUUAUUCAAAAAAUUUAUGUAAUUAUCAUUUAUUUUAUUAUAACUUGAUUCGUCGUCAAAUGUUCUUUAAGCAUGACAUAAAUAUUUUCAUAUUUGCACAAAAAUUUUGAAUAAAACGAAUGGUCAAACGUUGGUCGAAAAGUCAACGGCGUCAUACAUUAAAAUACGGAGGGAGAAUUAUCACGUACCUUGGUGUAUUAGCGGAAGGCUUGAAUUGAAAGACCAGGACAGUAUCUGGCAGAUCUCCACGCAUCCGGCGGUGGCUGCAGAAAACCCCACAGCAACCUGCGGGCCGGGCGGAGGUGUGCCCUUGAGAUGUUCUGUCAGGUUUGCACUCACCACCUGAGCGUGGGCCGCGGAUGAUGGAUGGUCAAGAAACCGAAGGUAGGCGACCAGCAUCCCUGUGCUGCUGUUGAAGACGAUGUCGGCUAUCAUUGUCCCAUUAAGGGUUACGUUCUUUGGCAAGUAUGUGGUAAUGGCAGAAUCCUUGACAGAGUUGAUGUCGAUGGCGAUGUGGUCGGUCUUUUCCUUCGGGUCAUUGUCAAAUCCGAUGCCGAUGUCGAACUCGACGGCGAUGAACCGAUCAUCCGGGGCGAUAUUGCUAGUGGUCGUCUUAUCAGUGAUGAGUCCGAGGUUGCCCCCGGCCGACCUGUACGGCACUUUAGAAGGGAAACUGGCGAGGAAGAAAGCCAUGCCAUCACCUCUGCAUGUACCGUUGCCUUCGAUGGGCCUGAUGGCGAAGGUGAAGCUCGUGGAGAAGCUGGCCACCUUGCUAAUGCGGCCGUUGGCUGCUAAUUGGUAAAGCUGCACCGGAUGAGCAUACGACAUCCGGCCACCGCGCCUGCAAACCUGGUCGUUCCAGGUGCAGGUGAGUUCUACCGGCGCCCCAGCUUUCUGCGGCUCGAUCGCGUCGUCCUGGAAUACGAGAUCUUGGCGGUACGUGGAUGGGUGGUCGGCUGAGAAGUUGAAGCUGAACACAGGUGGCGCUGCUGCUGCUCCAGCGAUGAGGUGAUCAGAAGCAUCAAGCAGCAUGGAGAGUAAGAAGAGGAGGAGGCCGAGGUAGCCAGGGCGGAGGAGCUGCGACAUUGCUACAGCUAGCAACAAGAGUACGAAUUCGGCAUUAAUGUGAUUGAUGGUCUAAUUAGCUAUGGCGGCUUGGCCGAGGGUACGUACUUUUAUAACCAUAGACAGAUGGAAUCCCACCUACUCUCCUGUCCUAAAAUUAGUUAACUUGGUACAAAACGUGAUACACUCUAUUAUUAUGGAUCUGAACAGGUCUAGUAGUAUUAGAAUUAACGUUAUAUCAUAUACUCCAUCCGUCUCAAAAAAUGAGCAUUUUUAUAACUAGAAAGAUAGCCCGCGCACAUGCAUGGGCUUUUAAUAUAAUGUUGUUUGAAUUUUUGUUAAGAAUAUUUGCACGCGGGUGAUUUUUUUUUCUUGAAAUAUUCUUUGAUUCUAUUCUAAACCUGUUUGACGUAGAACUUGCGCCCAUCUAGGAUUUAUGCAUCUGUGGCAUGCACUCUGCAUUUCUACUAUAUUAUUAGCACAAAGGUUUAAUGCAUGCCAUAGUGGAUGCCAGCGUGAUCAAACCUUUUCAAUCAUCCGCCUUAUUCUAAGUUACAAGGAUAUACUAGCUAGGUACGCACUGCAUGCAUGUGCUUUAAUUUGUAGCCAUGUAAUAGAAAUAAACUAUGGGAAUUAAUUAAAGGUAACGCACUCUCAUCUAUAAUUGUUUUGUACAACUAUAUCUGAGCACCACAUGAGCAUCACUACCAUUCCAGGGAAUGGGAUAGAUCCCCAGUUGCUUCUGCUACAUCUGGAUUUACUAAAAGUGCUAUAGCUCUUCCACAUGCUCCAAAUGAAUGUAGGUAGUUACUCCUUCCGGUUCAGGUUAUAAGAUAGUUUGACUUUGGUCAAAAUCAAACUGUUUCAAGUUGAUUAAGUUUAUAUAUAAAUAUAGUAAUAUUCAUAAUACUAAAUUAGUUUCAUCAAAUCAAUAAUUGAAUAUAUUUUCAUAAUAAAUUUGUCUUGGCCAAACUUAAAGUAGUUUGACUUUGACCAAAAUCAAAACGUCCUAUAACCUAAAACGGAGGGAGUAAUUUCCAUUGAAAGAUGCCAUCUUCAUAAGAUGGCCUAAUAGCAGAGAAAACACAAGUAUAAGAAAAUAUUGUUAUUGAUUUCAUAUACAUUGUUUUAUUAAUUAUCUCGUAGUAUUUUAAGUUAUGUCAUCUUAAUUGACCCCAGGCUGUAUUCAGUAUUAAAAAAAAAUUGAAAACAUUACAAGGGGGUCAAGAAAUAGAACUGAACUUUCCACAUACACAAAAAAAGAAGAAAUCUGAACAUAUUUUACUCCCUCCAUUCCAAAAUAUGAGGCACAACCACCCUUAACCCAAAGACAAAAAAAUAAUUAUUAUCAUCUUGUAGUUUGGAUCAUCCUACUAAAUAUAAUGCAUGCGUCCAAUAGAAUUAAAUAACAUGAGAGUGGAGGAUUUUAAAAAAGUAAUAAUUUAAUGGAGAAAAUGUCAUAGUUAAUUGCAUGCUUGCAUGCAUGCCUUAUACUAUGGAACAUUUAGAAAAAGUGGUUGUGGCUUAUAUUAUGGAAUGAGGAAGUAUAAUUUUGUAGAAAUCUGAAAUAGGGAGCCGUUAUAAAUUAGGUUAAUUAGAUCUAUGCCAUUAAAUUUUUUUUGGUUUUGAAAUAUACCACUACUAUUUGCGUAUUUGUAACGAUGCCACUGCUGCUUUUUUUUAAUUUGAGUGGUGCCACUAAGAUACGUAUUUUACAUGUAUUGAACAAAAAUACCCUCAUCUUCUACCUCUCUUCUCUAUCUUGUCCCUCUCUCUCUUCCCGUUGCUUCUUGCUCCGCCGCUCGCUGCUGCUACCGCCGCCACUUGCCACCAAGCCGCUCGCUCCGCCGCUUGCCACCGAGCCGCUCGCUUCGCCGCUGCUGCCUGCUGCCGCUCGCCGCCGCCGCCGCUGCCGCUGUGCCGCUUCUGCCGCCGCCCGCUGCCGCGCUGCUGCUCCACAGUUGCCAUCGAACAGGAAGAAGGGAGAAGAAGGGGAGAAAGAAGAAGAUGGGCAAUUACGUUUUUUUUAUCCAUUGCAAUUACGUUGUUUUUUUAAGCCAACAUUCACCUCCCGUGCGUUGAAUGAAAAAAAUAAACACGGGAACACUCAUUCUAUUUCGCGCCAACGGUAAAAUGGGAUGCGCCAAAUUGAGCUGGACGUGCCUCAAAGAUAUCCGUUCGUGCCAAUGAGAAAAAUAAUAUUCGUGGCAACAGAGUUCGACGCGCACAGACAGAACGUAGGUGGAUUUCGGUGUAACCGUGAGUCCUCUCUAAGACACGGUAUGCGCUUGAUGAUUCCCGAGUUUAUUGCUCUACGCACGGUAAAUUACAGUGUGACACCCGGUAUUCGCAUGCACACGGGAGCCUUCCCUUCACCAUUAGUGUUGGUUGCAAGCCGCAUGGCAUUUCCAAGGGCUCGCUUUACAUAAUUUUGCUUAAAGACCGGCUUUACGCUCCCCUUCUAAGCCAGGAUUUCGUCUAGUCUACCAGGAUAGCCAUUGGCAUCGCCCGCAUGGUUCGACAAUGUCUUGUAAGUUCGCCUGUAAUAUACUUGUGAAGGUCGAUGCCAGGAACCAUCGUUGGGUGUUUCACCAUGAGGAACAGGAGGUAGUUGUGUUGGAUCGUAAUGGGCUAGCCAACCUUGCGUGAAACGAUGGUGCCGCCGGGGAGGAGAUAGUCAUGGAAUUGCCAAUGCGGAGAGCUCCUUCUUCGGAGAAGAAGCCUAUGCGGCUAGGUGGCCACACCACUCCCUGACUCCUCUUUGCCAGAAGCCUUCAUGGCAACUGUUGAGAGAGGUGCUCAUGCACCUCAGAUGGGGAUACGCCAAGCAUCCUUAUCAGGGAAUUGCUAUGGCAGCUAUAAAUUUUAUAGCUGCCAGCAGAUGGGGAUACGCCAAGCAUCCUUAUCAGGGAAUUGCUAUGGCAGCUAUAAAAUAAGGAUGCUUGGCGUAUCCCCAUCUGAGGUGCAUGAGCACCUCUCUCAACAGCUGCCAUGAGGGCUUCUGGCAAAGAGGAGUCAGGGAGUGCUUUCUUCCAGAAACAGAUUGCCGGACUAGCGCCGGUGCUGGGGUUGCCAUGGGCAACCCUUGCAGCGAGCAACACCACAAUGAAAAGAUGCAUGCUUAUCGAUGGUGUGUGGGAUUUGAUGAGAGGUGAUGGAGGUCUUGCGUUUAUAUAGCCUCAAGGGAGGUUGUGGGUGCAGGUGAUCCUUAGCGAUCAUAUUAGAUCCUAGCUUACACCUCCUUGUCACCCAGUAGGACUAAAAUAAUUAAAGGCCUGCAGCUCAACCGUCAUACUUCCGGUAUUUGAUAAUCAGAAAAUAAAGUGUUGGUACUGUACCACUGAGUUGGCAUCCUUAUGUAUUGAUAUAAAAAAUGUAUAAGUGGCCAGCUAGCUAUUGCGAAAAAAUAAGUAGAUAUAUACAAGUCAUUAUAUAGCUAGUAGUCUUGUUCCUAACACCCUAUUCCUGCUAGAGUUUUUGUGACUGGCCGUCAUAGUAGUGUACUUCUCAUUAUUAUUUUUUUAAGUGAUCCGUGCAAGACAGUGCGAAGUUUCAUAUUGUUAUACCAGAAAAAAUUAUAAGAUUAUAAUCCUGAAAGAGACAAACAAACACACACCACCUUUCCUUGCUACUAGCUUCUCACACGAUGUCAAAAACAAAUGAAUAGGCACUUGUACAAAACCGGCCACUGCUAAGCAUGACCGAUCACCGCAAGACCUACCUAGCUAGCCGGCUGUCGUCCAAGUGCUGUCUCCUGGCUAGCCCCUACAACCUAACAAGUCGGCACCGCUGCCUCCAACUUUGGACUGCCCUUUGCGCCUCCUGCCUUCCGUGCUGCGCCGUCGAGGGAGGCCUUGCCAAGCACCAUCGGGGAGGCCUAGCCACAGGUUGUCCAGGCCGCGGGAGAAGCCACAGACGCCUGCUGCAACACUCUACCUGCCUUCCGGCACUGCCGGUCAGGUUCUGUCCGCCAGAACAACUCCCGUGUCGCUUGGAUGUGCUCGAGCUGGCUACACAUCUAUCACUGCCCCGACUUUCACUAGUGAGCCACCGCCUUCCCCGUCGCAGCAUCGUGUUGUCGUCCCGAAAUCCUUGACAUCUCGCAUGAACCCUAGAGGCGGUGGUAGUGGUGUGGUGGCAGGGGUGCAACGGCAGGGAUUGCCUCCCAUGUCGCCGCAGCCCUAGGUUCGACACGGGAGCUUGGCUAAAUAAUUGGUAGAUACCCCUGAUUGAUUAUUUUCACUUAAUCCAGAUGGUUCUACGCCGUCAGGAAAACCCAUUUUCUUGUAAUGAAGAAGCAAGCAGUGUUGCAUUAGAAUAUAUUAUGCAACCAAUGAUGAAUAUAAAUACGUUAUUUGACAUUGGAAAAGUGAGAUGCGAAGGGCCGGAUAUCACUUGUUCGCUGGUUAACAAUUCUGAUUCUGUCACUAGCACGUAAAUGAACAAGCAUGGGAGGUUUUCGCAGCCAUGAGCAACGAUCCUCUUUGCACCCAAAAAGAAUGACCUGGCCAUCUGCUUGCAUGGUUUUCCACCAGCGAAAUAGAUGUUGACAGUUAAUGUACGUAUACAUUUGAGAGUUUCGUAUUAUAGAGAUCUGGAUUUGUUAAUUGUCCAUUUGCCCUGUAAUAUUUUUUAUUUGGCUUGGAUUGGAGAAGAAAAUACAACAUUUUAUGUUCUUCAUUGGCUUGCUAUUAAUUGAGCAGUCGCAACUUUAAUUUUAUGAUGAUAUUAAAUAUAUAUAUAUAUAUAUAUAUAUAUAUAUAUAGUAAAUUUGUUUGGUGCUCCAUGGUGCCCGGGCACCAUUGUUGAAAUUGAGUAUAUACCCAAUUCAAAUGAGUAUGAAUCUUUUUCAAUUACUUAGGUAUUAACAUUAACUACUUUACUAACUAAUUCAAAGCAAGUUUGAACUGAAUUUGAACUUGUUUUUGUUAGAUUUUGAUUCUAGGUAUAUAGCAUCCAUACAUAUAAUUAGUUAGGUAUGUAAUCAUGGAUUGUGAAAUAAAGUUAAAUUUGAGUUGUUUUGUUGAUAGGUAUAGGUAUGAAUCGAAUUAUUAUAACUAGGUAUAUACUCACAAUUUGAAAUUUUGAAAAUUUUGAGUGAUUUUAUACAUUAGAUACCAUGGUGCCCGGGCACCAUGGUGCCCCAUAUGAGUGUCCUAUAUAUAUAUAUAUAUAUAUAUAUAUAUAUAUAUAUAUAUAUAUAUAUAUAUAUAUAUAUAUAUAUAUAUGACGAGGUAACUAUUGCACACAAAAGAUGUGUAUAUAUAGUAGUCUUACUCAUAACACGAUCUUUCUAUUAAACCUAUCGUGACAUUGUCUAUUGUACUCGUGAUGUUUUUUCACUUAAUCCCGAUGUUUUCCCGCCAUGAGCAAAACUGUUUUCGCGUAGUGAUGCAGGGAGUGUUUCAUGUUAGAAUAUAUUAUGUCACCGAUGAUGAAACUAGCAGAUACGAUCGAUAUUUAGCAUUGGAAGAGCAAGAUGUUUUCGGUUAGUGAUACAAGGUUUCGAUUUGAGUUUCAAAGUUGAGAAAAUAAAGUAUAUACAUUUAUGAAGCAAACAGGGGCCGAUCGAUCUAGCAUGGGGGUGGCGGGGUCUCAAGCCCUCACUAUUGGCGUGAGGACCAUGGAGCCCGCACGAAGCCCUCGCUAAAAUUGUUUGCUCUAUGCAGAUUUAAAGAGAGCUAUAGCUUUGUUUAGUUUGUUUAGAUCCGUCGCUGGAAGCAAAUAGUGUUGCGUCAGAAUAGAUUAUAUAUGCAACCGAUGAUGAAAAUUAUGUUAUUUGACAUUGGAAAAGGGGAUAUGCAGAGGCCUGGAUAUCACUUGUUUGCUGGUUGGCCAAUCGAUCAGAUUCUGUCACUAGCACGUAAAUGAACAGGCAUGGCAGCUUUCGAAGCCAUGAGCAAGGAUCAUCUUUGCACCUAAAAAAAGACCUGGCCAUAUGCAUGCAUGGUUUUCCACCAGAAAUAGAUGUUGACAAUUAAUGUACGUAUACAUUUGAGAGUCUUGUAUCAUAGAGAUCUGGAUUUAUUGUCCAUUUGGCUUGGAUUGGACAAGAAAAUACAACGUUGUUUUAUGUGCUUCAUUGGCUUGCUAUUAAUUAAGGAGUAGCAUCCUUAAUUUUAUGAUGAUAUUAAAUAGGUCUAUAUCUCUGCUAUUAUAAAAAUUAAAGAAAUAUAGAUCUGUGUUUGAGUAUGUCAUCCGUGUUUGAGUCGGUUUUUAAGUUCGUUCGCUUUUAGAAAUAUAGAUCCGUGUUUGAGUUGGAUUUUAAGUUCAUUUGUUUUUUGGAAAUACAAAAGAGUCGUAUAAGAAAUCUUUUUAAAUAAACUCGCAUGCUAACUUGAGAUGAAAUAUAGACUUCUAAUUGAAGCCUAUGAUUUUCUUAAAAAAAAUAUCCAAGCGAAUUCCCCCUAGCUAAACCAUAUAACAACAGCAAAAUUAAAAUGGUAUUUACCCGUUGCAACGCGUGGUAUUGUUUCUAGUGUACCCCCUCCCACCUCCCAUCCGUCCCCACCUCCCUCCCUCCCACGCCCCCUCUUCCUCUCUCCCUCCCGUCCUCCCGCGUCCCCUCUCCCUCCUCCCAUCGCUCCUCCCCUCCCAUCACUCUUCCUCUCUCUCCCUCCUCCCCUCCCAUCGCUCUUCUUUCUCCCUCCGUCCUCCCACGCCCCCUCUCCCUCCUCCCGUCGCUCCUCUCUCCUUUUCUUCUUUUUUUUUCUCUCCCUCCUUCUUCUCUUUUUUAAAAAAAUUAAAAAUAAAUUGGUGAAUUCAAGACUUGAACCCAUGAUCUCAUGGUUCAUGGCGAGCACUUCUAACCAAAUCACCAUAUGAUGAUUUGUUAACAAAUCAAUUAUGUACCUGUAAUAAUCAUACCUUGUUACUAUGAUUCGACAGUAACAUUAUCGCAGAAGGGUAGUAACAUCAUAUGUUACUGCAAAAAUGUAUAGGUUGUUACUGUAAACUUUAUAGGUUGUUACUGCACUUUCAGCAGUAACAGAGAACAUGCAUAGUAACAGUGGCCCUAUAGUAGUAAUGUUUUUUAGAUCUAGAGUAUUUUAAAUAUCAAUCUUUAGAGAGUACUAACGUACAUGUCAUGUCUUAUUUUUCUAACUCAUUUGCAUCAUGGCGUUCAUAAAAAAAAAGUUCUUAACGAAACUAGAACCAUAAUAACUACUUUUUAACGUUGUUACUGCGAAAAACAGACGUGUUACUGCAUAUUAGCCGUCGUGUUAAUACGCUGUUCCAGUGAGACGAGGACUAAAAAAGAGAUAAAUCUCAAUCUUUAGAGAGCAAUAUCUCUCACAUCAUAUCUUGUAUUUCCAAUCCGUUUGCACCAUGAAGUUCAUAAAAAAACGCUUAACGAAACUAGAUCCAUCAUGGCUACUUUUUGACGUUGUUACUGCGAUAAUGUUGUCUUGUUACUGCAAGAUGACCGUCCUGUUACUGCACGAUUCCUGCAAGACGAGAGCAGCAAAGUGGUGGGUAGGGGAGGGAGUGGUGGGCGGGUUUGACCGGCGGGAGGACACUUUGACCAAGGUGGGAAAGGGGUUUUGGGCCCUAGGGAGGGUGGGGAAGGUGGGAUUGGCCCAUGGGAGGGGGGUUUACAAUAGUUAUUCUAGGGGAGGGGUGUACAAUAGAUUCACUAUAUAUAUAUAUAUAUAUAUAUAUAUAUAUAUAUAUAUAUAUAUAUACACUAGCAAAAGUGCCCGUGCGUUGCACCGGGUGAUUACGGAGUGUGUAUAUUGACCAAAAUUGUUGUUUAGUUUAGCAAAAGUGCCCGUGCGUUGCACUGGGAAGCGCACAGAUCAGUAAAAAUAUGCAAAUUAAUUAAAAUACAAAUUCGCUGAAAUAUUUAGUAUUUUUAAGUAGGUAUGUGUAUAAUUAAAUAAAUUUACAAGUAAAGCAAGUGCGAGAAAUAAAAUGACAUUGUUAAAUUUAAUUUUAUUAAAUUCUCCAUGAUUAGUUACGCUCUUUGGAAUUUUAUUGGAAUUUUCAGAACUUAAUUGCUAAUUUUAAUAAUACAAAUAUCAUUUAAUAAUUAUUUAAUUGGAAAAAGAAAGAAAAUCCUUCCUUUUAGGUUUGCUUAGAAAUAAACACAUUUAAUAACUAUAAUUAUAAAUGCUUCUGAAAAAAUGAAGCACUAACUUCUCUUUUUUUUUUCGGCCUGAGGGACCUAAUACAGACUUAUUUCUGGCCUGAGGGACCUAAAAUAGACUUAUUUCCGUCCCUUCCGGUCGGCCCACGGCCUUAUCAAAACCCUAACCCUCCCCACCCCUCCCCCCCGCCCCCUCCCCAACUCAUUCUCCUCCCUCUCCCACCGCGAGUCGGCGAGUGGCGGCGGCGGCGGCGGUAGCGACCGGCGAUCUCGCGGCCGAGGCGAGGCGGCGGCAUACCUGCCCUACCGCGGGCAACGACUGGUGGCGGGGGAGGCGGGCGACUGGGGGGAGGGGGAGAGGCGGGAGAGGAGGGGAAGCCAACACCACUACACGAGAAGGAGGAGGGGGAAGCGCCGCCGGAAGGGAGGGGGAGGGGAAGCGACGCCGGUGGCGGGGGAAGCUGCCAGCUGGGGGAAAGGGGGAGAACCGGCAUCCGCGGCGCGACGGCGGAUCUGCCCCGAGAAGGAGGCCUAGAGGGCCGGCGCUUCUCUUCCCCCUGGGCGGCGGGGGAGGGCCGGCGGCGGGGGAGUUGUGNNNNNNNNNNNNNNNNNNNNNNNNNNNNNNNNNNNNNNNNNNNNNNNNNNNNNNNNNNNNNNNNNNNNNNNNNNNNNNNNNNNNNNNNNNNNNNNNNNNNNNNNNNNNNNNNNNNNNNNNNNNNNNNNNNNNNNNNNNNNNNNNNNNNNNNNNNNNNNNNNNNNNNNNNNNNNNNNNNNNNNNNNNNNNNNNNNNNNNNNCCUCUCCCCCUCCCCCCAGCCGGCGGCUUCCCCCGCCACCGGCGCCGCUUCCCUUCCCAUCUCCCUCCUUUCUCGCCGGCUCGGCGCGGCAACGGCGGGGUUCGGCGGAGACGGCGCCGUCCCAACGGCGGCGACGACGGCGUCCGCGGCGGCCGCGCUCCCUCUCCCCCCUCCUUCCCGUCUCGUCGGCUUGGCGCAGCGACGGCGGGGUGCGGCGGAGACGGCGGCGACGGCCGUCCCUCCCCCCCUCUCUCUCCCCGUCGGCCUCGACGGCGACGGCGCCCUCCCAACGGCUGCGAUGGCGUCGGCUUCAUCCGCGUGCGGAUUCGGCAGCGGCGGCUCCCUCCGGCGGCAGUGGUGGCGUCGGCGGCCGCCCUUUUUUUUUUUUUGCAAUUUUUUCCAUGGCUAUUGCUAACCGAAUAGGAUUGUGCAUGGACAAAAGAUGGACGAAAAUUAGAUGUCAUAUAGAUUUUUUUUCUAGAUCGGACUUCUUUUUUUUUCGCACUUUUUUACGUCCGGUUAUUUUGGAUCGGAAAAACCUGGUUUUUUUCGCCCGGUUUUUUUUUUUCACCUUUUUUGUUGGAUCGGACUUUUUUUCGUCCGGUUUUUUUGAUCGGACAAACUUGGUUUUUUCUACCCGGUUUUUUUUCACCCGGUUUUUUUGACGGACGAUGGAAGCACCUCUUAUUUUUUAAGUAGUAGUAGAGUAGAUAUAGAUAUAUAUAUAUAUAUAUAUAUAUAUAUAUAUAUAUAUAUAUAUAUAUAUAACUACUAUAUGGCGCUAUAGGCGCCACGUAUUAGAUGGCACCACACACACAACCAACCACCCUGUCCCACCCCCACGCGCACUCAAUUUAAACAGACCAUGUAGUUAAUUUUUAACUCAGUGACCCACCACCCCACCCAUCCCCACGCCAGUUAUUUUUUAACUGUUAGCGAGAUAGCCAAUGUGUGUCUUGUGAUCCAACGGUGUUUGCACAAUGAGUUAUUUUUUAACUCAACGUACAGACUUUAUAUAGUAUAUAUAUUACGGAUUUCCAUCGUAGAAACCGUCCACCCACUUUUUCCUCUCCGUCUCCACAUUUUAUGGAUCGUUGAUGGCUUGGCGACGAGGAGGAGCGGCGGUGGCGGCGGUUCGGGGACAAGCAGAACCGGCGUCGUGGAGGAGCGGCGGUGGCACGUCAGGCCUGAUGGCGUCGCAUCCAUGGCGGGCGCGGCAUCUGCGGGCGGGGGGUGGAUCCGGCACGGCACGGCUGCGACAAAUAUUCAAGAACAGCACAUACCAUUUUGCUUCAGCUAUGGAAUGAAACAAAAAUGAGAAGGAAGUCAGAGAUAAGUGCAAGAUUGAACUAGCUAGUUCUGAAUAUUUGUUCUGCUUCAAGCACAACAUCUCCAUGUGUUCUGAACUUAAAUACUGAGAUUCCUGAAGAACAGAUUCUGGAAGACGAGUGCAUUCCAUCUGAAUACGCGGUUUGCAGACGUCGGCUCGGUGACGACACAUGAGUCAGAAGCAAAUCAGGAUUCGAUAACGUUCAUGCUUUCCUUGACUUGACCUAUAAAGUAACGUCCUUAUUACUCCCGUCAAUGAAUAUGUAUAUCGUCGUAUUAAGAAGAUAGUGCGCUGCAUCAUGCACCUAACCGGCCUGAUGUUCUUUUUCAAUACGGGUGAAUCCGAAGAGAAUGAUGACUCUCUGAAUAGUGGAUGAAUUAUUAGAUCGGAGGGAUUGUGGUUAGGGAAUCUUUUAAAACAUAGACACUAUUUUACAGGAUUUUUAUAGAAAUUAGGAAGCAAUCACUACUUAAAAAAAGCAUUUUUGCCAACGUUGGGUCUCUUUUUCCGCAGACGGGUAUGACCCUCGGAGCCAAAUAUCUGUUAGAAAUUUAAUCAUAAUUCGGCAUAUUUUAAUCCAAAAUAACAAGAUAAUAAGCAUGUUAUUUACAAUGAGCAUGCUUAACAUAGCAUGUAAUCAACAUGAGCAUGCUUAACAUAGCAUAACCAUCAACAAUCACAUAAUAACGCAAUGUUGACAUUGCGAUGAAUAUUAACGGUACAACUUCUAAUUGAAAUAAUGUAAGAUGGUUAUACCCCAAAAAAGGUCCUCCGCUGGAGUUUAAGGCAGUAUUGCCUCUGUUGGUGUUGACAGGAGCAUCCUUCUCCUUGUCUCCAGCGUUGUCGUUGUCUUUAGUGUUCGAUAUGUUAGUGAAGACAAAGUAGACGUUGACGAACAGUCAGUAGUCGCACCUUGCGCUCCCCAAAAACCUGAUCGCCCACCCGUCCAUGCAAACGUCGUAGCAGUGCGUGGUUUCGGAGGCCUAUUCUCUCAAAGCGUGUGCACACACUCGUCGGGAUGGGAUUACCGUAGCAGCAAAAGCCUUGGAAAUGGAUGAAAGUGUGUCUCACUUCUCCUUAGGAAGAUAAAAUCCAUUCUCAUUUUAUAGGAGGAAUGGAAGAUGAAGAGUAAGAGUCAUGGAAUAGGAAGAGAAAUAGAGUAACUAAUUCUCAUCAAUUACCCAUCAACCAUCCUCUAUUACACAACCAUCAACCAACCAUCAAUUAGGAGUAAUUGAUGUAGGUUACCAACGGAAUAGGAAGAGCAAUAGACCAACUAAUUGUCAUCAACUAGCAACUAGCCAUGAACCAUUCUUCACUCCACAAGUAUCAACCAUCCAUCAAUCAGGAGUAAUUGAUAUAAGUUACCAAUUCACCAAUCAAAUGGAUUAAUUAUCAAAACUCUUCAUCCCAUUGAUAUCCCAUUAAGAGAAUGAAUACACAUGAAUUCCUAGCAUAAUGAGCCUUGGAAUUAAUGAUUUAAAUGAAUCAAUUACUCAAUUAAAUCUAACAAUAUUCACUUAUGAAAAUGUAAACCGAGGUGGAUUUUCAUCAUUCGAUUGCGAAAAUAAAUUUUUCCAAGCGAACCGCUUAAGAGGUCCGCCUGCGAAAAUACCUUUAUUUCUAUGAUUUUUGCAGGCGGAAACUUAUGUGCUCCGCCUAAAAAAAAUCAUGCCUACAUGAAAAAAAAAACUAAGUCCUAUCUUAUCUUCUCAUCUUCCAUCUUAUCCUCUCCCCACCACUCAUUCCAUCAACUCUCUCUCUCUCUCGCGGUUCCCUCCGGCUCCCUCCCCUCCGCUUCCUUCCUUCCGGUGGAGGCGCAAGCGAAGGGCGUCACCAUUGCCGGAUCCACCGCCCCCAUGCCACCCCACUGCUGCCGACGCCACCCUCCUCUCUAGGCGCACCACUGUCGAUGCCCAUCCACUCCAUCGGAUCUAGGAGGGAAGCAAGAGGAGAGGGAGGGGAGAGGUCGUGCUGCCUCGUCCGCGCUCUGCCGGCGGUCCCCCUCCGGCCAUGCAGGGAGGGCAGGAAGGGGAGGGGAGGGGAGAUAGAAGGAGAGGGAGGGGAGUGGCCGCGCACGCUGCCGUCGAGAGGGAGGCAGCCAUCAGGUUUAUACCAUGUUCGCUAACGGUAUGUAAAUAGGUUCACCUAAUUUGUCAUUGUUUAUAGAAUCAACUGAUUAAAAAGAUAGAUCAGGUUAGCUUCGAACGUGAGCUAUAAGCCUGUUGAGCUAAUGAAAUGUAAAGCACAUGCAUAGACGCUGAUUAAAUGUAAAGCACAUGCAUAAACUACACUACCACUAAGUUCAGAUCUUGUCCCGUGUUGUUCUUUCAGUUGUAGCUUCCAAGCUGUGCAUAUCUCAGGCCUAGUGUCCGUCAGUGAUCAACUGCAAGGCGCUGCAUACUAGCCAGCAGAUUCCAAGAGCGUUCGGUACGCCCUGUCUAUUUCACGUACUAUCUGGUUUUGUGUAGUUUUUUUCAUUGAUAUUAAUUCUUGCUCAACUAACACACAUGUGUUAGCAUCAGACGAUGCCUGGAUGGAUGGUUCGCACGGUGUUCUUGCUCAAUUCGUGGGUAAUCCGGACGUUGGUAGUAUUCAGCUUCGCAGCGCAUGUCACCAUCGUCUUCUUGGCAGGAGUCCGCCGUCAUAAGGCUAUCGGCUUGCCGAUAGCCAUCCUGUGGGCGGCGAACCAGCUGGGCCGGUCGGCCGCGACGUACGCGCUCAGCAAGCUCGCCCUCGGCAGCACGCCGCAGGAGCUGCAGCUGGUGACGCUCUGGGGGGCGUUCCUGCUGCUCCAUGCCGCUGGUCCGGACAACAUCACCGCCUACUCCUUGGAGGACAAUGUUCUGUCGACGCGCCAGAAGGUAGAAAUGAUCUUGCAGGUAUCAGGAGCAGCAUUUGCCAUGUACAAGAAUAUAGUCAUCAGAAGCGGGUCCGGUACGAUGGUCUGGGUCUCCUCUUUCAUGUUCAUCAUGGGCAUUUUUAAGUAUUGGGAGAGGGCGAAAGCUAUGCAGCUCGCCAACCUAGAAAACUUGCGAAGCUCAAUCAAGAAGAAGAAGGAGACAAGGAGACGACGAAGCUUGAGAAAUAUUAGGCGUCCAAGCAGUUCAAAGCAUGAUAAUGACAAGGAGGCACUGCUGGUUGCUCAUGGCCUGCUCGACAUCACCAAAGGCACCUUCGUCGAUUCUUCAGUCAACGAGUUGGUAUCAGAGCGAGUUCUCACCCCCUUCCUGAUGAGCUCUCUUCUGCUCAUUACUAGUGACAUUGCCAGAACGAUUCUUCUGCGCAGUAGUAAUUUGGAGCUCAACCUCCAUCCCUCGAGCCUCCUCAACUGCAUUGAGGUAUAUAGUAGGCGGGUUUCUUCCCAUCACUUCUCUAUACCGAGCAUUGAGCCCUCGAAAGAACUUCCUAGCCUUCUCACGCUCAUCACUUGCCACGCUAGGCACAAAGCGUACAAUACUGCUGAACUCCCGUUCAUACUCAUCAACAGUCUUGCUCCCCUGUUGGAUAUUGUUUAACUCAUCACUCAUCUUGUCCCUAAAUGAAUCUGGAUAAUACUUAGCUCUGAACUGCUGAAGAAAAACUUCCCAAGUAAUAGCACCACGAUCAGGGUUCCACGCUUCAACAACUCCAUCCCACCAAAUGUCCGCCUGACCAGUCAACUGAAAAGGCAUGAAAGUAACCUUCUCCUCAGGAGUCAUUCUUGAUCCCCUCAUAUACUUCUCCAUCUUGCGUAACCAGUCUGCAGCAUUAACGGGAGUACCAGACCCAUCAAAUGUGUCUAAGCGCAUGGAUGUCCAUCUAGUGAGUGUCAUCCCCCGAACAGCUCGAGGAGCAUCAUCAGAGACAGCAGCUGAGUGGCUACCACCCUCCUCCUCUUCCAUGUGCUCAUCCUCCAUCUGGUUCGAGGAUGCUGCCUCAUUAGGGCGACCUCUACCACGACCUCUUCCACGGCCUCCAGCACGGCCCCUACCACGACCUCCACGAUUCGGAAUAGGGGAUUCAGCAACCGAGUUGUUCCCAACCUCUUCAUUAUCCUGAGUAUUUUCAACUUCUUCAUUAUGGUGGCCCCUACCACGACCUCUACCUCCGCUUCUCCCGCGGCCUCUGUUAGCCAACCAAACACUCACUCUAGGCGGCAUAGCUAUAUCAAACACAAGCAUUUAGACGUCAUUAGUUUAACAAUAGGUUAGACAAUGGCAUGCAAGGAAACACAAUCAUACACAUAUAUAUGCAGCAGAAACAUAAAUGCUAGGAAUGAACCAUGCUCCCAUUCCUAUUGUGCACCAGUGUGUCAAGUUCUUUUAGAUGUUUAUAUAUAACCCAAGUUCUACUCUUAUUAUUUCCUACCCUAAGAGAAAGUAUUUUUUUUAAUUGGUUAGGAACUCUAGUUCAAAAUUUUAUGUUGAUUUAUAUAUCUCAUUACCCAGUCAAUUCCCAUGGACCUACCGCCCGCUCUGAUACCAACUGUAACACCCCAGGUAACCACGUACAUAGAAUGCCACACCAAAAUACACUCAAAAACUAAGUCCUAAAAUUAUUAGAAAUUUCGGCAGAGUCUCCCCUAAAAAUACGGACAUCACGACAGGCAGUUAUAAGAAAGGUCAAUACCGAUAUAAACCACACAAUCCAAACCAUCCUAGUGUAGACCCCCGAUUUUGGAAAUCGGAAAUCUUCUGUGUUUAUCCGUACCAAUCCCUGGAUCAGUAGUUGGUACACACAUACAUAGUUGGAUCACAACAUAUCACGAAUGAAUUUAGACUAAAAGAGUUAAAUACUUACAUUAGGGCCAGGUAGGCCAACAACUAUCAGAGAACAACAGCGGAAGACAAAAUAAUAUAAGGGCCCGGUUAACAUGCCACAGGCAGUCGACUGGGGAACGAGACCUAGAACAAGACCGCACUCCGAUCAUCUUGUGGGAUACGCAAGCGUACCGACAAGGGCUUCUCUUCAACACUCUCCUAAAAGAUAUAUAAAUAGCAAGGGUGAGUACCAACCGUACUCAGCAAGCCACCACAACAACAAUGCAUAUGAUAGAGGGUAUUUCAAGGAAUGGCUUCAGGUUCUUUUGGAUAAAGCUAAUUUUACAAUUCUUUUCACAAGCCUAAAACCUAGCAUAGACUGAUCAAAUUUUAGUACCAGUGUUCACUUUAAACAACGACGGUUCUGUCCACCAUCCAUUGUGAUCCCAAGGAUAGCUUCCCGCCAUUGAAUCGUCAUGGUUUUCUGAGGAUGUCCACCUUCCCUCCUCUCGGGAAGUGGCUCCAUCAGCAUAAAAUUCAUCAUGCAAUAUCCCAUUCCCCACAAGUUAAGAAUUUAGAGUCUAGCCAAGUGUAAUACAUGUCCCGGUGCUCAAUAACCGCGAGCACGGCUAUUCGAAUAGAUUUGGUUUACUCACACUGCAGUGGAUGUACACUUUACCCGCACUCCGCGACUGCCCAACACAUGAGCCUCGUCCCAACACAUGAGACGCGUCACGGCAAAGCUUUUCGAUAACCUCGCAUUGGCAGUACCCGCUCCAUGAACUUAAAUCCUCAUGCACUCUAGGCGUCCAUGUUUCUAGCAGUGAGAGGAGUUCUGGCGCUCCCGGGAAAGAGAAGUCUCACACGCAUAUUAAAUUAUGGUUCAAGUUAAGUUCUCUCUCUCACACACUCAUGACAGUCCUACCAAUGGCGACACCGAUGUAGGGCACGCCUCUCGGCCCUACCUCAACGGCUGUCCCAUUGUAGCGCACCUGUCUCACUCAGGGGUGAACCAUCUAUGCAGGGAUACUGCCUCCGCUCGGCUAUCUAAUCCGCUAGGUCUAUACCCAUUCGAGAAGUACGGUUGUACGGGGGUCGUUUCAUGCUUAACUUCAUGGCUCGGUCCUUAAUUGACCAGGGACGGUACUAGCCUUUUCCAGAUACCACCCAAAUCCUCCGUCCGCCCCAGUCGAAAACAGUUGUUUAAUUUUAUUUCUCCUUUCACAAAUCAUGUCAUCAACAUCAUGGCAAUGUGGCGCUCAUGUCUCCACAUGCCGCAUCUCAAUUACCUUCCCAAAGGUAAUUGCCCAAGCAUAUAGCAUUUGAUAAAUAUGAGUAUGCAUGAUUCUAGAAUGGCAUUUCUAAGCAAUUGUCAUAAUUGACUAGGGACUCAUACGUAAUCAUGGUUACAAGGAUUUUAAGGGUAAACAAUAAUCAAGGCAUGGCAUAAUCACAAGUAGGAUGUUCAUCAUUGCAUGAAAUUUUAUUUGUAAACAAAACAAUUUCGCAAUUAGGAUCAACAUGUUCAAGGAAUAGUGAUGACUUGCCUUGCUCAGGAUAAUCCUUAUUAUUGCUAUAAUCUUGAUCAACCUUCACCUCCUGUAAGUUGCAGACGUUGCCUCACGACUAACCGAUACACAAGGUCUAUAAUACGCGAGAAAAACCAAUAUUCAAACAACAAUCAAAUAUGCGCAACAAAAUGUACUACUUCGUGUUUGCUAAUGGAUCCCAAUCAUGCUAAGGCUAAAGUUUCUUAAUCUUUCUAUUGUCAUCGUGGCCUAUUUAGGAGUUAACCAACAUAGCAUUUAUGGGAUACAUAUAUAUUUGGCUAAUCAGUGGUUUAGUCUAUCAAAUGGCUAUGGAAGGAUUUUGGCUAUGUACGCAUCUAUCUAAAUAGGACGGUUAUAUACUAGAGGUUCUGUUGCUAGAUGGAUUUAGGAUCAAUCAAACAAUUACAGUGAUUCAUUUGUAUUAUUUAUUUUAUUGAUGGAAGCUUUACUUUAAUUAUGAACAUAUUUUACUUGCCAUUAUAAAUUAUAAAAGGGCUAAUAAUUAUCCCUGCUCUAUAUGUUAAAUUCGGGAAGUUUAUAAUAUUAUAUUUACAGAUUAUCUCUUAAUGAACAAUCCGGAUUUACAAUUGAACUAUGAACAUAUGAGGUCAAGAUUUAUAAUUAGUACUUAUCUAAUAUACAUGUUUGUCAAAAGAUGGGUUAUUGUUCCUAUGUAUGAUUUUAAAUGGAUUGUACAGUAUAUGUGAUCUAAGUGGGUUGACAAGUGAUUUUACUGUUUGGGUAAUUAUUGGAUGUUAACCGACUCAACCUUAUUUGGGUGGUUCUAUCAUAACAACUCUGUUCCUAUUCCUCAUAAAUAAAUUAAAGACUCAUCUAUGUGUAUUCAUGUUUGAUUUACCUAAUUAUAAGGCUAACUUUACUAUUUAAAUAAUCUAUAAGUCAUGGGUUUAAUAAUACAACCAUUACAUAGUGCUAGUAUCUUCCAAUACAUUAGUUUGAGACAUUAUUUAAAAUUAGUUUGUGUGGUUGUUACAGUGACAAAGCAUGUUAAAGGCCUAUAUCAUUACAUCUACUCUAUUGUACAUUAUCAAAUCUAUUUAUUAGCACAUUUUUAAGUUGACUACUAUGCAUCAUCUUGAUAUUAAUUAUUUAGUAAUUAAUAAUAUAUUUUCUUAAAUAAUGAAUUAUAUACCAUUGGAAAGCUUAUGAAUUUAGAUGAAUUUAGGAUCAAGUUUCAUUCAAAUCGGAGUUAAAAUGAAUAAGUUAUGCUAGUGUAAGGAUUCAAAUUCGAAUAAUUGCGAAACAGUACUGUUCACAUCCGAUUUAUUUUAAUCCGAAACCUAUCUACAGCUCAGAGUCACUGACGGGUGGGGUCAGGGGUCUUAUUAUCUUUUCUACCGAAUUAUUUUUGUUAGAGAAAAAUGGGGAGUGGGCCCGGCUUGUCAGUGGCUCGGCUGCUCUCUUUCUCUCUCUCGUUCUUUUCCUAUCGUCUUCUACCUCCAGACCGUGCGGGAGCAGCAGGGGCGGCGCAGCGCGCGCGGCAAGGCCGGCGGAGGGCGACCCGACGGCGACCAGGGGAGGGAGCGGCAAGGCUCCGGCGUCCACCUGCCGGCGGUCACGGCGUAGGACGGCGCGGGGGCGAGCAGCGCCGCACGGCCGCCAUGGCCGGGCACGGGUAGCUAGGUGCUAGGGCGAUACGGAGGGUUUCCGACCAAAUUGGUGCGGGCGUGAGCAUCUAUGACGUGUGAGGGUUCCAUUUUACUUAUUAGAUGGCUAGGAAGAGCUCCGGGAUGGCUUGUCCACGGCAAGCUCGCCGGCGGCAUAAUGGUGGCCGGGCCAGCACGGCUACGGGCGCUAGUCGCCGAAAUUGAAGGAGGCUCGAGUUUCUACGGAACCAGGAGAGACCUGAGGAGCGUGGACUUACCGAUAGACGGCGGGACGACGAAGAUCGGGUGCAGUGGUGGAGCGGAGAAGAAGGUGCAGCACGCCCACAAGAUGCUCGAUGAAAUGUAUCCGAGGAAGAAGAAAAGGAAGAGAGGGGAGGACGAGCUCGUGGGGGCUGGGAGGUGUGGGGAGGGAAGGGGAGGCAUGGGUUUAUAUAGGGGGCGGAGGGGAGAGGUGGCCGGUGCAGUGAUGGCGGAUGGGACGCGCGCGGCGUGCGGGGCUCGAGGCGAGCGGCGACGGGACAUGAGCGCAGGCGCAGCGCGGGGCUCGGCGCGAUGAUGGCGACGGCGCAGCAGCUGACGGCAGCGGCGCGGGGCUCGAGACGAGCGGUGACGCGACGGCGACACGCGGCGACGCGACGGUGACGGCGACAGCGCGACGGCGGCGCGGGGCUCGGCGCGGCGAGAACGACGGCGACGCAGCAGCGGCGCGAUGGGACGGCACGCGGCGCGGCAGUGCACGGGGCGCGAGGGCGCGUAGGCGGCAGAGGGAGGUGGGACGGGCGCGCGGCGGGGCAGGGGCGCGGGGCGCGAGGCGACGACGUGACGGCGACGACGAUGGCGCGCGGGGCUCAAGGCGGCGACGGCGACUGCUCGACGGCGACGGCGAUGGCGCGCGGCGCGGGGCGCGAGCUGGCGCGCGGCAGCGGCGCGGGCGACGACGAUGGCGACACGAGCGGCAUCAGGCAGGAGGAGGAGGAGGGCUAGGACGGCUAGGAACCAAAUCGAACACCUAGGGUGCUAAUGAACAGUGCUAGCCGGCUAUUUAACCCUAUUUUAGCAUAUUUCCUAUAUAAAUUUUAUUCUAUAAAUCCUAAUUUUUACACAAAUGAAGUUUACUCAAUAUUUGUGUUAUUCUAACCAAUGGAUUCACCCUAGAUUAAUAUUACCCAUAUUUAUUUAUUUAUCGCACAAAUGAAUUCUUUUUAGAUUAAUUUGAGUUAUUGGCCCUAAGGUGAACUUGUAUAUUUUUGAAGACUUUGGGGUACUAUUACAUUUAAUAUAUCGACUUGUCAUGAUUAAUACAUUAGCAGAUUGGUCAAGUUUAGUUGUAUAGCAAUAUAUUUUACACGGAUAGGUUCAAUCUAUUUAUUCUAUAAAUAGUAAAUUGAGACUCGGUACAAUAUCAAUCUAAUUGUUUAAUUAAAACUCACAUAUUCUUAUUUAUAUAUAAGCUUAAUGUAUUUAUAUGACCAUCAUUUUAUAUGAGUGAAUUUUAUGCCCAGAAAGAUAUGUUAAAUAUUAAUGUAAGUAUUCCAAUGAAAUACUCAUCUACAAAUAGGAUUACUAUAGUGGUGAUCAUCAUUUCAUGUGGAUAGGUUGUCCUUUUAAAUCGGUUUUACCUCUAUAUGAAUCAUUAUAUUUUAAUAUUUGACCUAUAAAUUAAAUUAGUAAUUAACCUUCUCUUUGUAUGGCUUUGUUGUGGUGCGUAAUUAUUUAUAGAGUUCAUAAUAAAUAUCUUAUUUUUAUAAUUGUUACUCAGUUGUAUAGCUUUAGCUUAAUUUUCAGUGGUGACAAUUUAUAGUUCGGCAAGCAAUAACAACCAUAACUUCCAGCAUGAUGCAAAAGUUUUAAAAAGUUCAAAAUUUUAGUGAUUUUUAUUGUCUUGAAUUUUCAGGAUGUUACACCUAGCUCCACAAAUCCCACGUGAAAAAUAAAGAUCAGAACCUUAAAUGACCUUUACAAGUUCUAUGCAAAACUUAUGCUGAGCAAAAAUUAUAGUCUAAAACUAAUUUCAAUUGUGUGCAAUAAUAAUGUGUAGUCCAAGGGUGCUACUCCCGCCCCAUGCCGAUCGAUGUCAUUAGGUAUCUAAAAACCAAAUUAAACACAAGAGUGAGUAAAGAAUACUCAGCAAGUACAAUCUUGAACUAGUAAAACAUACGCAUGAUUUAUGCAUUAAGAAACCAACAUGAAGGGUUGGAUUUACUUUAUUUUUAAACAAAAGAAGUCAAAAGAUAGUAGUUCCCUCCCGGGCAGGUGUGAAUAUCCUCUUAGCAUUACCGGUAAGCCGAGCAAGCGUGAUCAGCGCUUCUCAAGGAUCAUGAAUAAAGAUCCAAAUUGCACUCCCAUGGCUACGCAUGGUUCUUGAAUAAUGUAAACAGAACAUCCGGAAUAAUGAAACAUGAAUUUGAAUAUGGGUCGAAACACGAAUAACUAGCAUAACGUCAUAGCCAUACAAUCAGUAAUAACAAGCAAUUGAAUAAUAAUUAUGCAAGUAAAGCCAAACAAAACAACUCAGUUUUGUCCAUCAUAUAAGUCCGUCUUGUACUUGCCUUAACUCAUUCGAUACUCCGACUCAACUCCUCCAACGUUGGAACCCUCCACACCUGUGGAGCAAAACUACGCAUAAACCACUAUAUUCAACUAAUGAUGGUUACAAGGGAUAUUUAGUAAAAUCGAAACCUAGAACAUAUAAACCUUUUACCGAUUUGUAUUAAAUAACCUAUAGCUGUUCCAUUACUGUUUUAUGAGUAACUCACAAACCGUCUAACGGAAACUAGCAAAUAAUACAACUUCGGACAUCUAGACAAAAUUGUCUACAACUUUCAUGUUGAGCACAAAAUCAGAUUAUGCCUCUGAAAAUCCCACAUUAAGGAAAAACGAACUGCUGUCCUGAUUUCCGGACCCGGUCAGCAGUACUGUUUUUGCUGUUUCUCCUAAACCGUUGAUCGGAAUCGAGUGAAACUAGCAGCGUUGGAAAGAUAUUGACAAUGACUACAAACUUUAUUUAGGACAACUAACCUGAUUCCUGAUGGUUUAAUACCAGAUUUGAAAAUACGGUUUCAGCCUAGCGUUCGAUAUAAAAUAAAUUCGAAAAAACCGGAAACAGAUCGUCUUAAAUAUAAAUUAGAAACAACUAUAGACUAAAACGGAUUACCUAGCAGUACUAAUGUAUAAGAAAAACGAAGAAUUUGGAAAUAUUCACCAAAUUCCCCAAAUUUCCCUUCUUCUAUCAAAUUUCCCCUUCUUUCCUUCCUUCCUGUUCUUCUCUGCCUUCUCUCCCUCCUUCCUGUUCGUUGCAGGCCAACAGCAGCAGCAGCAGAAACGAAUAUCGGCAGCAACAGCAAGCCGUACACCACCACCAAGGAAGAGAUCAGAUCGACAAUAGCAGGGUUCGGCAGCAGCAGGGAAAUUAACAGAAACAACAGUAGCUCACCAACGACCGGCUGCGGACGACGACGGCUGUGGCGACCGGCGAUGGCUGCACCAGCGGCGGCGCCGGCGAAGAGAGGAACAGCAGCGGCGGCGGCAGAGCGCAGGAGGUGCGGCGGCUAGGGCUACAGGAGAAUCGCUCCUGUUUCUUUUUUUUUCGUUUGUUUUUUU
Molecule: long non-coding RNA, 45355 nt
Filed under: Oryza sativa (Asian cultivated rice)
Lineage: Eukaryota; Viridiplantae; Streptophyta; Magnoliopsida; Poales; Poaceae
Description: long non-coding RNA (OSAT_LNC000688)
Rfam family: MIR812 microRNA precursor family (bases 22512-22716)
Source: RNAcentral